AUAUUUUAGAAACUUCGAAAAGAAGAAAGUUGAGAGGGUGUUUGUUAAUAAGAAAAUUGAAAGCUUUUUUUUUUUAGAGAUAGAGUAGCAUAUUAUCCGUUUUGUUUAUUUUAUUUAGAAAUAACCUUAGCUGGAAAUGUAAAUCAACUAGGAUUCAAACUUAGGAUCUGGAUAUCAAUCAUGAAAUUCUUUGCCACUUGUGCUAGAAACGGUUUCCAGAAUAACCUAUAGUUGAGGAAGUCUCCAUACAUUUCUAUCAAAAAGAAAAAGAGAAAAGUAAAACGUGAAAUAAAGGAAAAAGGAGACACAAAAGACAUGAAAAUAGUCAUUUGAAUUGGAAUCCAAGGACGAAACUCAGUUUGGUUCAAUUUGGUUUGAUUUUCAAAGUGAGAAUAAACCAAAACAGUUUAGGUUUAAUUUAGCAAUAUGUUGUGUAAAAGAAUAAAAUAUAAGACUUUUAAAAUGAAUUUGUUAUGACUGUUUGAUUAAAAAAAAAUAAAAUUGAUGGUCCCUCACUAUUUUCAAAAAGGUGAAAUCUCAUUUCAUAAUAGAUUUUUUUUUCAAUCGUCUUCUUUAUUUCUCUCUCCUCCUUUAUUUUCCUCUCUGAAAUUUUAUUUUAUAAUAACAUUCUCUUUAACCGUAAUAGAUUAUCACGACUUUUUUUAUUUUCCUCCCCGCUUUAUUUCUCUCCCCACACUAUUAUUCUGAUGUUUUCUUCCUCACGCCACAUUUUUAUCAUCCCUACUCCGGAGCAUAAACUUUUUUUCUCCGCCCUAUAACAUUAAUUUUUUUCCACCCCUUCUUUUAAUUCAGAUUCUGUCUGUUUACCCGAUAGAUCAUCAGAUAUCCACACACCUUUUUUUUUCUUUAAGUAAGAAAAAUUCGAAAUUAUGUUAACCACUAAUUACACAAACAAAACAACAAAAAGUAAUGCUAACUUUUUAAAUAACUAUUUUUUUAAAAAAAUAGUGCUGCUGAAAAGCCUCACUCUUUUUUAAACCUUUUUACAAUUAAACAUGCUGAGAAUUUUUAAAACAAUCUGACCUAAUUCCUUGAAAUAAAUUAUAUAAUAAUAUUGAAAAAAUUAUUAUUUGAUAACUUAUUCCGAUAUCAAAGUAAUGCCUAAGUGACAAUUCAAUCUGCCAAAACACUACAAGUAUUUUGAAUACAUCAAAAAAAUAUAUUGAACAAUAUAUCUGUAUACCCAAACAAGACCAAAAUAUUUAGAAUGCAAUAGUAUACUCGACCUUCAAAUUAUUUCUAAGAAUAAAAUAGAUCACAUCGUGAGAAAAGUAUGACAUUAUACCAAAUUGUAAAUGCUAAGAUUUUUCAAGAAACAAAAAGAAAUAACACCUCAUUAAAAGAAAAAAUUUUGUUUUGUUAUUAUAGCUGGUUAACUUACAAUGUAUCCCCUUAGAAAGUAGAAAAAAAAAAGUAAUUUUUAAACCUCAUCUGGUAUUAUUGUCUUUUUUUUUUUUUAACACUAAUUCUGUAUAAUUUAAUAUGCCGAGAAAAUACUUUCUUUUUUUGUUGUUAUAAUUGAUUAGUUUACGGUAUCCGUCCAAGUAUAAGACGACGACUUAUUUAAGAAAAAAAAUGGAAGCAAGAAAAAUUAUUUUCUAAGUUUUCAUUUUUAAUUAUUAAAUAAAUAUUUUAGAUGAAAAGAUUACAAGUAAUUUACCAUCCACUUCUAUAUCUUUUGAUAUACAAAAUUUUAUUUAUAAUAAUAAAAUACGAAAAACGAUACCACACGAAGCUUUAAAUUUUUAAUUUUUUUGCUGCCAAACAAAUAUUUUAGAUAAUAAAGAUUAUAAGCAAUUCACUAUCCCACUCUUCUAAUUUUUUGUUGUACAAAAUUUUAUUUAAGAAAAUAAAAAACAAACACCACACAAAACGAGGCAGAUAUUUAUUACUAUAACCACCGAAAUAUAUAUAUAUAUAUAUAUAUACACACACUAAGAAUUAGUCUAGAAUACUAUUAAUAGUAAAAUACUUUUUUUGUUAUCAAAAUUUUAACUCUUGGAUGAAAAAUUGCAAGAUCAUGAUGAUAUUAGUCGGUUAGAGUUGAGUGGUCCCCCUAGAGUUGAGUGGCCCCCACUAAAUUAUAGUAUUUAAUCCAAUAGUUAGAAAUAAUGAAAAGAGCUGAUCCAAAGGCUAAAAAACUGGUAGCAACAAUAAAAUUUUACUAUUAAUAGUAGCCCAGUCCAACUCUAUAUACUAAAUAAGUUACUAUUGAAUAUCAUACAGCCAGCUCAACCUCUUCUCCAGAACUCUCUCUCUCUCUCAUCACAAAAAAAAAAAAAAAAAAAAAAAAGGGAAAAAACUUGAAAGGAAGAACGCAUCAAACCGCACCAUCUUUCUCGUCCAAAAAUGCACCGGAAUAAAGCGUUAUUGAUAGGCUAAAUUACACGACUAGUUCCCAAACUUUCAGUUAAUCUUCAUUUUGAUCCUUAAAACAUUUGAUAAUAAUAUUUUGUGCCGAUUUAAAAUCUGAGGUUAGAGACCUUAAUAAAUUCUUUUAAAAAAAUUCCAAUCUAGCCACCACUGUGGUGGGUUUUGUUAUUACAAAGCUGCCCACACCCAACCCAUUUGUACAUUUAUGUACCAUACUUACAUACCGGCCCUUUUUCCCAUCUUAUAUUUCAAUCCAAUUAUCCAUCGACUUCAAAUAUAUUUUUUUUACUUACAUAUUGAAUCGUUGAAUUGAAAUAUGAGACGGAUGAAACAUUCAACAAAUUAAUGGUGAAGUUGUGUAGUGCAAUUUACCCCUCACAAGAAAUCAAGGGAUUGAGAGUUGAUUCUCAGUUCAAAAUUUUCAUGUGAGUUAAAUCUACCACUCGAUUUCGAUAAAAUAGUUUGGGAGGUACAAAACUUUCGAAACCAGAAAUAUAUAUAUAUAUAUAUAUAUAAAAGGAGUGCAAGAAAAACACUAACAAAUGUUGCCGCGAAUCUAAGUAAAAUUUAAAUAUCACAAAAUUGUACAAAGGUUUCAACUGGAAGUUGCGGUAUCAGCAAAUGGACUAACCAGGGCUCAUCGCAUGUUACCUUCUCGCAGGACAUCGAUCAUGUUGUAUAUUUUCUUAUCGGCCUUAGACUGAACCUGCAUUGGCAAAAAAAUAUGAGUGUCGGAUUGCUCUUCCUUGUACAACGGAAAAUAGGGACCGAACUCCUAAAGAAGAAGGUGAAAUGUAUUAAUAGUCACUUUUCUUUUAGUAACUCCUGUCGAUAAUUUCUAGGGCUUGUUAGUUUGUAUGCAAAACUGAUAUUAGGUUAAGUUCAGGAAAAUACUAUUUAAAGUGAAAGAUUGGGGACUAAAUUGCAACUAAUAGAAUUUACAGGAGAAAAUUAAAGAAUGAAGUAUCAGGAGACCUUCUUAUACAAAAACAUAGCAGCAUCAACAGUUCCCUCGGCAUAUAUUGAACGACCGCAGACAUUAUGCUGGAACUCAAAUGAAACACUGGAAGCAACAUUAAAAAUUUACAUUAAUAAGCAGGUAAUAGGAAUUAUUCGUGCAUAACAGAACUCAGCGACUAAUAAGAUGAAAAAAAAUAGGGUAAUAUAUAUUACGUUUCGUCAGGCGAAGUGAGAUGAUAUAAGUGAAAUGCAUGGCCUGAGAGGUACUCCUCAGGGACACCCACCAUGUCAAGUUGCUUCUUAGGGUCUCUAAUCUUUUUUAUCUGGUGAUGUUAAAAAAAAGAAGAAAAAAGUGAGUUUUUGAGAAUACACAUUAAAAGGAAACUAUCAAAACUAAAAUCAUAAAUGCUAUGAGAUGUAUUAAAGUUCAUGAUGUAAAAUAUAGGCACAUUCUGCAAAUUAAUAAGAGUAAUUGACACAACAAAGACCACCGAAGAUAGCCACAUACUAUUCAGAAACAAACAGAGCUUGACUAAAAUAAACCAAGUACCGAGUUCGCGCAAAAUGCUUGAAAGCUAAAUGCAAACAAAGGAUAUAACAAGAAUGUAUUAAUACAUAAGUCAAGAGCCUAUAGAUAUCUACGAUCAAACUAAAUAUGGAAAUAGGAAGCUUCAGUUAUAUCAAUUUCACUGAUAUUCACCUCACAAUGAAAAAGAAAAGGGAAAAUAAGACUCUACUACGGCACUUUAUUGUAAAUGUGAGAACAAUCAAAAGAAAAAGUGUUGUUGCACAUGGUAGGCUACAUCACCUAAAAAAGAAAAAGACGUGAACAGAGAAGGUUGAAGCAUUAAGAUACUAAGAUAGUUCAUAAACUAUCACUAGCGACUCUCGAACAGAAAUGCAAACAUAGAAGCAGAGAUUCAGCAUCAAACAUAUUUGCUUACAAAAAGCCAUGUAUUUGCCAAAUGUUGACAAUACAACAAAUAAAUAAAUAAGAUCCGACAAAACUGAUGGCAAAGACUAAGUUUCUAAAAACAAACAUUUCAAGCUAACGAUAACAUAUUGAACGUAAUGAAAGGAAUAUUUUAUUAUUUGAGUACAAAUAUGUUUCGCAAAAGCCCAUACCUGCUUUAAAUUAAAUGAGACACCCAAUUUCUGAAAGCAAGAAAUGACAGCUUUAGCUGUACCAGAUGUGUCCAAUUUGCCUGCUUGAUGUGACUCCAUCACCUGUAAAUUUUCGAAUAUUCAGUAUGGGAAACAUUAACCUGUGAAUAAUGGUUAUAAUAAUAAUAUGAUAUAUUUCUGAGUACCACAUAUCAUAACUGUGGAGAAGAGCAUCAUAAUCUAGCACACUCUUCUCCGCUCCCUGUGCCAAGGAGCUAAUUGUAAAUAGAAAUGUAGCCUUUUACAGAUCACACGAGGUAGAGUAGUGUUUCUAGUCUUCUACAGUUUGGAACAUUCUUGGAAGUAUCUUUUAUCCUCUAUCUUUUGUAAAUGACUCACAAAAUCAUAAGUCAGACAAGGAGUAAAUUUUACUAAAUUCAAAUUUCAAAUUUGUAAUGUAUUCAAAUUUGUAAUGUAUUGAGAAGUGCUUUACAAAACCGGCUUUAGAGCAUCAUGACCGACUCUAUGUAGCUCUUUCUGUUAGACAACUCUCAUAAAUUGGGUGGAAUUAUAGAUUAAUAAAUAGACAGUGAGCCUUCAAAGUCACAAAUAUGCAGAUGAUUACAUUGAUACAGACAUCAGAGUUCUGUUGCAGAGCAAGGUAGCGAAGCAGAGCAAGGGAGCGAAGCUUGGUUAGGGAGUAGAGCAGUUAAUUAAUAACAGGGAAUUACGGCAUUUUCCCAUAAUAGUUGCCGACUUCAUUCAUAGGUAACAUUGAGGUGGGAUGAUCGGAGCCGGUCCAAAUCAUAUGAUCCUGGCUGUGUAUCAGGGUAACUGAAUUAACAACCAGGACCCGCCUGUUAAUUUUUCCUUUUAAUUACAAGUUUGCCAUUGUAACUAAGUAUAAAUAGACUGAUUAGGGCCAUUGUAAUUCAUCUUUGAGUAUCAAUAUAAUUUUCUCUCCAUUCCUCUACACUGGUCUCUUCUCUUCCUCCUCCUCCCUCCCAUUUCUGUGUUUAUGAUAAGGAGAACACCAGAAUUCACCAUGAAUUCUCUGCCUCCUUGGGUUGAUUAGUAGGCUGCAUCAGUGGUAUCAGAGCGGUCGAACCUCGGCCAUCUCGCUGCACUAAUAUGGAAACGAGGUCGCAGGAGCUGAAGAAGAUGGAAGAAUUGUUGCGGACGAUGAUCAAAGAUGCUACCAGUCACCGGGAGCAAUCCGUUCAGGAGGUUAGAGAGCAACAAGUGAGAGACAUGGAGGUCCGCCAAAUGUUUGUUAAUUUGCAAGCGUCUGUUUCGGCAGGAGUUAAUUCAAAUUACUCCUCUACGUCAAAAACUGAAGGUAAUCCAUCUACUAAACUACAACUUUCGACGAGAUUCACUAAGUUAGGGUUUAAUGGCGAAGAACUUAAGGGAUGAUUGUAUAGAUGUGAGCAAUUCUUUGGGAUUGAUGGAACCCCUGAAGAUUCCAAGGUCAAGAUAGCUGCUAUCCACUUGGAAGGGAGAGCUUUGCAAUGGCAUCAAGUUUUCAUGAAGGCUAGAUUAACAAGAUCUAGGCCAACCUGGGAAGAGUAUGUGACGGCCCUCAACACCCGGUUUGGUUCUGAGCUAUAUGACGACCCCAUGUCUGAGCUGAAGAAAUUGAGACAAACUGGAACUGUUCAAGAGUAUCAGGACAGAUUUGGUGAAUUGUUAAAUCGGGUAGAUCUCUCCGAAGAAUAUGCUGUUAGCUGCUUCUUGAGUGGAUUAAAAGAAGAAAUUCAAAUACCAAUACGAAUGUUUCAGCUGAGAACACUUCAGAAGGCUCUUAGUUUGGCUAAACUACAAGAGGUAUCAGUGGAAGCCUCCAACAAACAUAUUAAGAGUGGAACUAAACCCAUGCCCUUGAAUACUCCACCUCUGUUACCAACUCCCAAGAGCAUUGGAGGCCAUCAUAAUUCCGGCAACUUUAGAGCUCCAAGACCUCCCAUGCAGCCGGGAAUUGUAAAUUCUCAAGGAACUAAUCCAACUAAGACUCUGAGGAGUGUGUCAAACUCUUGACUUCGAUGGGCGCAGAGCCAAAGGAUUGUGUUUUGGUGUGAGGAGAAAUACGCACCAGGUCACCAGUAUAAGAAAAGGCAAUUAUACAGAAUAAAGUAAUUGAAGAGUCCCAUGAAGUAGACCAGGGAGAAUCAGAGGAAGAAGUUUCGACGGAUGAGCUACUUAACUCAGCACUCUUGAUAUCUUUGAAUGCACUAGCCGGGUCCAACCAACUGCUGGAUUACAGAACUAUGAGACUCUCUGAGACAGUGAAGAAUAGAAAAAUACAUAUUCUAAUUGAUUCUGGGAGUACACACAAUUUCUUGGACCUAGCUGUAGCUAAGAAAUUGGGUUGUCAGAUCGAGCCAUUCCCUCCGGUGCGAGUAACAAUAGCAGAUGGCAACAAGGUGUCUUGUUCUUCCAUUUGCAAGGCCUUCAAGUGGAAAAUGCAGGGACUAGAAUUUGAAGCAGAUUUGCUUUUGUUACCAUUGGGUGGUUGUGAUGUAGUGCUCGGCAUACAAUGGUUAGUGAAGCUAGGCCCUAUGUUAUGGGAUUUCAAGCAAUUGAAGAUGGAAUUUCACAUUAAAGGCAGGAAGAUAUCCUUAAGAGGCUCUCCACAAGCUUCUUUACAAGUCAUUGAGGGCAGGCAAUUGAAAAAGAUGAUGCAGACUGAUACCAAACUGUUUUCUAUGCACUUGUGCUGCAUUCAUUUUGCUGAACCUUUUAUUAGUAACUCUGAAGCUAAGAUUGUAAAUAGAACUUAUAAGACUCAUUCUACACCAAGGUUUCUACAACAAGUGCAAUCAUUACUGUUGGAAUACUCGGGAUUAUUUGCUGAACCUGAAGUAUUGCCACCACACAGAUCGCAUGACCAUAAAAUCACACUAAAGGAAGGUACUAAUCCCAUAAAUGUAAGACCUUAUAGAUGUCCAGCCUAUCAAAAAAAUGAGAUUGAGAAAAUUGUGCAAGAUCUAUUGGCUCAGGGAGUAAUUAGGCCUAGCACUAGUCCCUGUUCAUCCCCGGUGGUGUUAGUGAAAAAGAAGAAUGGCUCAUGGAGAAUGUGCAUUGAUUACAGGACCUUAAACGAGUGUACAGUGAAAGAUAGGUUCCCAAUACCAUUGGUGGAUGAAUUAAUCAACGAAUUGCAUGGGUCAACGCAUUACUCUAAGCUAGACUUGAGAUCAGGGUACCACCAAAUUAGAAUAUUCGAAGAUGAUAUUCCGAAAACUGCCUUCCGGAUGCAUGAAGGACAUUACGAAUUUUUGGUUAUGCCUUUUGGGUUGACCAAUGCUCCUUCCACCUUUCAAGGUCAAAUAAAUGAAAUUUUCAGACCAUAUUUGAGGAAAUUCAUCAUUGUAUUCUUCGAUGAUAUUCUGGUGUAUAGCAGAGGAGAGGAUGAACAUCUCGCACAUUUGAGAAUAGUUUUUGACAUCUUGAAGCAACAUUCGUUGUUCAUCAAGGAGAAGAAAUGUACAUUUACUGCACCUAGAAUAGAGUAUCUAGGACAUGUCAUUGAUCAGAAUGGAGUUUAUAUGGAUCCUCAGAAGAUCAAAUCCAUUAAAAGUGGCCUAUGCCUGCUACGGUGAAGGAAUUGCGAGGGUUUCUUGGGCUGCAGGAUAUUACAGAAGGUUUGUGAGAAAUUAUGGUAAAAUCAGCCAACCACUACACUAUAUAAGUGGACUGAGGAUGGACAACGGGCAUUUCAUGAUUUGAAGAGGCUGUUAGUAGUGCACCAGUUUUAGCAUUACCAAAUUUCAAUGAAAAAUUCACCAUUGAAGCGGAUGCUUCGGGAAUUGGUAUUGGAGCAGUCCUUCAGCAAAAAGGGAGACCAAUCGCCUUCAUGAGUAAGGCUCUAUCCCCCCGAAAUAGGUCUUUAUCAGUGUAUGAAAAGGAAAUGCUAACAAUUGUGACAGCAAUUCAAAAAUAAAGAGCAUAUCUAAUUGGGAGACAUUUUAAAAUCAAAACAGACCAUCAAAGCCUUAAGUUCCUGAUGGAGCAGCGGGUAUCAACACCAAGCCAACAGAAGUGGGUAUCAAAAUUGAUGGGCUACGAUUACGAAUUAAUCUACAAGAAGGGCCAGGAGAACGUGGUGGCUUGUCUAGAGCUCCAACUUUAGCUGCGGUUUCUAUUGUGAAAACAGAGUUAUUUGACGAAAUUCGGAAGAGCUGGGAGACAAAUACAGAAUUGAAGUCCUUAAUAGAAGCAAAGCAACACGAUCCUGCAUCUAGACAUCAUUACACAUGGGCUCAUGAUCAGCUAAGAAGGAAAGGGAAGUUGGUUGUAGGAAAUGAUGCUAACUUAAAACAAAAGCUUCUCCAGGAAUUUCAUAGUAGCAGUACUGGAGGACAUUCGGGCGUUGAUGUCACUACCAAGAGAAUUAGUAGCUAUUUCUAUUGGAGGGGUCUCCACAAGGAUGCGAAAAAGUUCGUGAACGAAUGUGACAUAUGCCAAAGAAACAAGAGUGAAAGCAUGGCACCUGCUGGAUUACUACAACCUUUACCAAUUCCUGACAGAAUUUGGACUGAAAUCUCCAUGGAUUUCAUAGAAGGGUUACCUCCAUCCUAUGGUAAGGAAGUGAUUUUUGUUGUGGUAGAUAGAUUGAGCAAAUAUGCCCAUUUCAUAACACUUUCUCACCUUUAUUCUGUGCCAACGGUGGCCCAAGCCUUCUUUGAUAAUAUAUAUCGACUGAAUGAUCUUCCAAAAAGCAUCGUGAGCGAUAGAGAUGCUGUUUUUAUUAGUCACGUAUGGCAGGAAUUGUUUAAACACUUGAAGGUUCAGCUGAAUAUAUCCACAACCUAUCACCCGCAGUCGGAUAGGCAAACCGAAGUGGUGAAUAGAUGUUUAGAGAAUUAUCUGAGAUGUAUGACAGGAGAGCAACCUAAAGAUUGGGUUAAAAGGUUGGCUAUGGCGGAAUGGUGGUACAAUACUGUUUCACACGGCAAUUAAAUCAACACCUUAUGAAAUCGUCUAUGGCCAAACCUCACUCUUACAUAUUUCCUACUUAGCCGGAGAUUCUCACUUUGAGGCUAUAGAUAGAAAUCUUACUCACAGGGAGGCUAUUCUAAAAUGCUCAGGCACAAUCUGCAUAAAGCGCAGAAUCGCAUGCGACAAUUGGCUAAUAAGAGGAGGUCCAAGAGAGAACUACAAGUUGGGGAUUGGGUGUAUGUGAAGCUUCAACCCUACCGUCAAGUUUCAGGACAACGACGAACUUCACAAAAACUAGCUCCAAAGUAUUUUGGGCCAUUUCUUGUAGUUGCUAGAGUUGGUCAAAUUGCUUACAAAUUGCAAUUGCCUGAGACAGCAAAAUUCACCACACCUUCCACAUCUCACAGCUAAAGAAGAAGAUAGGGUCAGCAGCAUCGUCUUCCACCAUUCCUGCUUAUGUGAAUGCUGAAGGCCAGCUAUUGGUGGAAUCAAUUGCUGUUUUGGAUAGGCGCAUCACGAAAAGAGGUAACAAUGCUGUCACACAGGUCCUGAUACAGUGGUCAAACCUACCUGAGGAGGAAACGACAUGGGAGUACCUCUUUGAUCUCCAAAAGAGGUACCCGAACUUUAAUCCUUGAGGACAAGGAUUGCUUCAAGAAGGGGGAUCUGUUGCAGAGCAAGGUAGCGAAGCAAAGCUAGGGAGCUAAGCUUGGUUGCGGAGUAGCGCAGUUAAUUAAUAACAGGGAAUUAUGGCAUUUUCCUAUAAUAGUUGCCGACUUCAUUCAUAGGUAACAUUGAGGUGGGAUGAUCAGAGCCGUUGGUGGUCCAAAUCAUCUGAUCCUGGCCGUGUAUCAGGGUAACUAAAUUAACAACCAGGACCCACCUCUUUACUUUUCCUUUUAAUUACAAGUUUGCCAUUGUAACUAAGUAUAAAUAGACUGAUUAGGGCCAUUGUAAUUCAGCUUUGAGUAUCAAUAUAAUUUUCUCUCCAUUCCUCUACACUUCUCUUCUCUUCUCUUAUCCUCCCUCCCAUUUCUCCCAUUCUUGUGUUUAUGAUAAGGAGAGCACCAGAAUUCACCAUGAAUUCUCUGCCUCCUUCUUGGGUUGAUUAGUAGGCUGCAUCAAGUUCAAAUAUAAAUGAUUUGGUAAUUUGAUCCCUUCAUAUAAUAAUGGUAUAGGGCUGCAGAAUGUUAUACAAGGCCAAAAACAUGCAGAAAGUGUUAGCAUCACAGUUUCAGCAAGUUUCUCUAGUUGGUUUUGAUGAUAAUAAAGUAUUAGUGAUCGAUCAUAUGGUUUUUUGCUUAGAUACUUAUAUUUCAUUACUUAAGAAUAGUCCUCCCACUAGAAAAAAAAAAGGCAAGCACAAUAAGAGACUUAGCCCCAAUAAAAGUUCUUUUACUAAGGCCUGUUUGGAUUUAGAACUAUUUGUCCAGCAGUAACUUGUGCGCUCGUGAGCUUUUCCUUCGUUGUUGCAAUCUAGAAGUUUCAUUUUAGAACACUGCAGGGCCCUCAUAAUCAAGAACUUUUCAGGGCAUGCAUUGCACCUGCUAGGUUGUCUGUCAUAUUUGAUGAGAAAUAACUUGGAUCAGUCUGCUAAGCUAGCUCAAACAACUCAAGAGGAACUUCUUAUAACAUGGAAUGAAACGUAGAAUGUUUUUCCAACAGAAAGUAAAAGUAAACAAUUUCAUAGCUAGAAGAGGUUGGAGUACUGAUCGCCAAGAUCAGGGAUGUGCCUUAAUAAUUGUAAACUUCAUGCAUGUAAAUCAUUUAGGAUAAGUGUUAUCAAAUCUAAAAGAGUUGCUAUAAAUACCAAAACUGUAGUUAAUCAAUAGAAGAGUUGCUAUAAAUACUUAAAACUGUAGUUAAUUUGAUAAGAAUAUAGGAAAUUAUAAGGUUAGUCCCUGUAAACAUGAAUGCAAUUCAAGAAAACUCUAAUUGGAUUGAAGUUAUUUUCCAGUAGAAGCUUGGAAACUACAGAAAUAGACAGGGAAAAAAAAAGAACUACAGUGGAAUUGUACCUCCAUAUGAUAUCCAGAAAAAGCACCAGGAAACUGCUCAGCCAUUAUCUCCAUGGCAGCAAGAAAUGCAACAACCUAGUAAAAAGUAGGACUUGCUUAUAUUUGGGAUUUCUCACCAAUGGACCAAAAACUAUGUCAUUAAGCACCUGUUUGGCUUGGCUUCUAGAGCAAAUUCUCUUAUUUCAAGCAGCUGAAGCGAACUAGGCUUCUGGGCAUUAAAGUAGAAGAUCUAAUUUGAAGAUUUUAGCUCCUGCAGCAGCGGAAAACUAUUGACAAUAUUCUAAUGAAAAACCUGUUAAUGCUUCUUUAAAUAACUCGACUCAAACACCACUUCUGUUGAAGCUCUGGCCAAGCCAUCUGUUGAAGCUCUGGCCAAGCCAAAUAAGCUCUAACUAAACUCAGGAAUAUGGGUUUUACCUGUUUGCCCAUCUGGGGAGAUAAUACAGCAUAAACAUUUGCAUCCUGCACUGUUUUGUACAACAUCUCCCUGUCUCCUCCCGUUGUGCCCAUUACAAACGGCACACCGAGUUUGCAGUAAAGUUCAGCAUUAUCUACAAGAAAAAAGUUACCAUUUUGAAAUAAAGAUAAUUGUCUAAAUGCAGAUUAACUGUACUAGAACAACAUCAAAAACAUCACGAAAAAGUAACUGCGUGCUACAUCAAUGUGAGACUACUGACAGUACUAAAUUGCCUAGUAUCAAAUGCUUACAAGUUCAAGAAUAAUGAUGAUAACCAAAUGCUAAGUUCCAAAAUUCUUUUACCUCUAUGAAGUUUGACACCGAAAAAUAAAUCAAGAUUGAGUUCCAUACUUUUCAAAUACCUUGAUACUAGUGUUCCGGUUAUUGGUAAAAGUGGACUGUGAAUGUAUAGAAAAAAUUAGGCACUAACACUGCAAUCAAUAGUAAAGGAAUUUUACGAAUGUAACCUACAAGUUCUUUUUUGAAUAUAGCACUUAAAAAAGUAAAUGAAAAUCCCAAUACUUCCCUCCAUGCAGAAGUCAACCAUACAAUCCUCCAUGCAGUUCGUUUCUGUUUAAGGAGAUAACUAGGAUGCAAAUGUGAAAAUAGUUCUUCUUGGAGUAUAUAUGGACUAUUCCAUACAUAAAAUGGUGAAUAUGCAACAAAGGAAUAAGUGCAGAAAAAAAAGGAAGAAGACAAGUAGCAAUAUCUUACCAUUCACAGCAUCUGGUACAGUAUAGUCAACAAGUACAAGAUUUGGGAAUUCAUCAAGGACAGAAGAAAGAAUAUAUUCUCUUUCUGAUGGGCCAUGUACAUGCAUAUCCAUACUGCCGACUUGUAGCGUUCUACUAGGUUUCUCUUUGCUGCUGAAUGUUACAGGAACUAACUGAAGGCCAGCAGAAACUGCUGCUUCAGCAACAGCUUUCCCCAUUUUUCCAGUACAGCCAUUCACCUAAUAAAGAUAAAUUUCACUUACACAAUAUCAGCAUUAAAACCUAGUUUUGAUAAAAAAAAGUACAGACAUUACCUGAUCUAUAACAUGUUUUUAAAUAUGAACUAUAGAAAUUGCAUCAAGUUUUGUCGGAACUUGAUGAUCUCUCCCAGAAAAGUUAAUUCAAUCAGAAAGAAAUAGUCUGUGGGGUCAAAGAGUAUUUGUGUUCAAAAACUUACAAACCCUAUUAAGUUCUAGCAUCAAGAUAGUUACAUCAAAUAUACCAUAACAAAAAAUAAUGAAAUCAAAAUUUUCAAUGUUCAAGUAUCCAUUUUAAAAUGCACUAUAGCUCAGGAAAUGUUUAUACAUUUUUAUAUCUAGCUUUCUUCAGCCAUGCCAAAAAGUUACAAACAAUACUAGGUAUUGCAUUACAAAUUUGAUGAGACCACAUUCAUGGAAAAUCAAAAUUAUGAUUUUACACCUAAACACAUCUUGAGCAAAUUUGAGGAAAAAAUUAUUCUGCAUCAUACUUCAAAUCAAGUUGCAAAUUUAUUUAUUAAAGAAAGCCAAAUAACAAGGUCAAAAAUAUCUAGGAACCAAAUGUGAUAGUCAAGGACAGGAAAUGAAAGCUUUCGCUCAAUAUAGAUGCUACAGCUUGGAGAUAUUCAUUUUAACUAUUUUAUACUUCAGGUACACUGAUAUCUCCUCAGUUUUUUGACCUAAUAAUUUAAGUAUCUAAUACAACAACAGCUCGUCAUUUCAGUUGAAUGUGACAGAUAGCUUAUUUCUAACUAAUGCAAUAUGGCCUCUAAUACAUCAAGAAAAAUUGAAAUUCUAACAUAUCUAUAAAUCAACUUUCAAAAGAUAUCCAUAAUGAUUUUCAAAACUUUUUAACCACAUUAUACUUGACAUCCAAACCACCUAAAGCCAACAAUAAAAACCAAUAAUAUAGUUUUACUCAAAAAGACCUGAUUAAAAAUAAAGUUGCAACCUAUCUGAUAUGGGAAUCAAUAAACUAAAUGAACAGAACUAACAUUUUAAGGCCUACUAAGAAUGUAUGAGGCAUCUCAAUGAUCUAAACACUUCUUGACGCUCAGUACAUAUUUGAUUCCCUUGCAUGAAGUUCAUCAUAAAGUAAUCGAAAGUUCUAACAAGUUCACAAGGUAAAUUUAUGAAGAAUCUGAGUGCAAUUAGGGAGCAUGGAACAUCUCAUGCCACUGGUUAAUCAUCUGCAAUAUAUGGUUCCAUAGGUAAAGAAGAACAUUAACUGAUUCAGUUCAGCAUAACAAGAUACAGCAUCUACUUGAAACUCACUGAAUAGUUGUUCACGUUACUUACCUAUAGUUCGACUCUUUCUGAGAGUAUCUUUAGAUCAGGAAUAUAUUUGAACAAGGGCCUGGGCCUAGGGAUGCAAACAGGGCGGAUCUGGGGGCGGGAGCCCCGCCCCGCCUCCUGCCCCGAAUCCGUGACGGGUUGAAAAUAGUUAUCCCAUGAUCCGACCCGCCUCAUAACCUGCCUUCCGCUGGUGCCCCGAAUCCGCCCCGCCAAAUAGUAUUUGUUUUACAAAUUUUAAUAUUAUUAACAUUUUGUAAAUAUAAAUCAACAAAAUUUUUAAUAUUAAUUGAUAAUAUUAUCAAGUUAUAUAUAAAUAACAAUAUCAACUAUAAAAAUUAAAAAUAUCAAUCACAAUUCACAACAAAAUUCAAAAAUUUUAAAUACAUACAUAUGGCAAAAAAGUCUACUAGAAUUACAAUUCCUCCAAAUUUAGUGCACUUGAAAAUUAACAAACUUAAGCAAAAUUAUCAGAUUUUCUUACAACUCCAUUCCAAUCCUUUCCCUAACUAUAUGUAAGAAGAAAAAAGCCAACCACAUUGAAGGAAAUCAUCUUCAUUCUCAGCUAUGAAGCCAGUCAAUAGCUACGAAGCCAGUCAAUAGACUCAAUACAUUUAGCUUCUCGGUAGUUUGUCUAAUAAAAUAAUGCCAGUACAUCCUAUUUUAACGGAGAGGAAUAAGUGAAAUAUAGUUGAAAAGGGACCGGCGGAGGCGAGGGAAAGGGCGGCGGCCCGCGGAGGUGAGGAAAGGGGCGGCGACCGGCGGAGCCGUGGAGGCGAGGGAAAGGGCGGCAGCGGCCGGCGGAGGCAAGGGAGGCGAGGGAAAGGGCGGCGGCAGCGGCGGCAGCCGGUCGUGUUGGGGGAGAAGGAGGAGUUGGGAGGGUGGUCGAUGGACGAGUUGUGAGUUGGGACUUGGGAGACAGGGAGAGUGAGAUUUUUUUUAGGGUUUGCAAAAUGAGAGCUUAUAUAGUUGGAUGUUUUGUAAAUAUAUCAUUUUUCAAGAGUAUUUUAAAGAAAUAUAGAAAUAGUUUUCGGGGCGGAUUCGGGGCGGAUAAAAAAUUUUCCCGUUUCCUGCCCCGAAUCCGCCUCGGAUCAUAAAAACUGCCCCAUUUCCUACCCCGAAUCCGUUUAUUUCCUCCCAUUUACUGCCCCAUUAGGGGCGGAUCGAGGCGGGAGCUCCACCAACCCGAAUCCAUUUGCAUCCCUAGCUGGCCAAAACAAACAGGCCGAAUCAGUAAACCAAAGCAAGUCUUUUUUUUUGGGCCCGGUUUAAUCACUUUUCUCUAAUAGUCAGCUUUAUCUCAGUUAAAAGAUAUUUCAAACUGGUAGAAUCUGUUAGCUUUUAGUUUGAACUUUCAAAAACCAAUUCAAAACAAUAAAUCGACAGAAAUAUUUGUCGAUAGAUAAAAUUGUUUAGCUGACAGAAUAGUUGUCUACAGAUAAAAUUGUUUAGGUUUCUACGUUAAAUCCAUCUCAGACUAAACCAAAUAAGGAAGUCAUUUAAAGAGCAAUGGCAUUAAAGUCCAACCACAUGAACAAGAAUGAAAGUGAGCAGCAUAGUUGAUGCCUAUAAAAGAUGGUCUUCACAUUAUUCUAGACCAUAAUGCUAUCAAAUACUCCUCAUAGCAUUGACUUAAUUUUCUUAUCAAAAAUAUUGCACAAUCUACAGAUGAAGUAAAGAUAAGUGUACAGCCACACAAGGAAAUUAAGGGAAAAAAAUUGGGAUAAUUGGAUUUUCUUAAAAAAAAAUCAAAAGUAUCACACAAAAGUUCCUUUGUGUCCCUCAAUACUUAUACAUGCUUAAACCUUUUUUAAAGUAAAAAACCCCUCAAAAGUAAUCAACUUAACACCUUUUUACACAUCUCAGAAUGCGUUUUCAACCAUGGGUUCUCUCAUCUACAUUUUGCCCCAAAAAUCAAAGCCCCUAAACCCUAAACCCUAACAUCAGGCCAGAAGUCUGGAAUCGCCAACACCGAUUCCUAAGCCAAGAGAACAAAUUUCAUCACAAUUACUACCAAAAAAAGACUCCUAUAGCACCCACGCGAAUCAAAAUAGGAAUUUGCAGAAUGCUAUGGAAAAAAUAAACAAACUACUAAGGAAUGUUAGACUUAAGUCAUAUGACCCAUUUCGGUGUUGCCCUAUUUGACCGACUAGCAACAUAUUGGAUGGGGUUAGUAUUGUUACCCGCUCCAUUAAGUUGAUUAUGAAAAAUUGUGGGAACGGUUAUGGGGAGUUGGAUCCACUACCUCACUAGUUGGUAGUUAUCCCCUUCCACUACUUGGUAGUUAUCCUCAUGAUGGGAAAGGAGGAUUAAUGACAUACAUACAAAGGAUGGUCUUUUUCUCUUUGAAGGUGUGAAAAAUACAAGCUUGUAAACCCAUCAUAAUUCCACCAUUGUAAGAGGAAUAGCCAUUGCAAUUACAUAAUUGCGUUCUGGUCAUUUGAAAGAGUACCAUAUAUAGGAGUUGAUCAAGAUACAAGAUCGAGAGGUACUCGUAGACAAGAUCAAGGUGUCUAGGACGAUCCUCAAUUAUAUUUUCACCAUGGCAUCAGGUAUAAUCCGCAUAUUUUCUAACAACAAUGGUAUCAGAGCCAGGUUUAUGUCUUGGUAUUUGAUUCGGUCACUUUCUUCUUUUAAUAUGUUUACUUUAAAAUUCUUCAAAAUGAAAGAAUUAGAAGAAGAAAGUGAAAUUGUUUUUCCUAUUUGAACUUUUAUAAGAUAUUAAUGGCUGCACAUAGUAGUUGAUGAGUUUUUUAAAUGAGACAACACUUUAAUUAUUAUUAUUAUUUUUUUGGCAUUUUAAUCAAUAAUGCUUUAGUCCAACUCUAGAAGAACAUAUAUUAUGUUCUAUCUUGGAUGCAUGUGUUUGGAUGUAAAUUAAUUAAAGGUCUCAUAUGUAUGAUAAAUUUUUACUGUUUCUUUUGGAAGAAAUAGUAAACGGCAGUGUUUUAUCUAUUUUGAUAAAACGGGUCUUAUCAAUAUCUCUAUUCAGGUUCGAAGUUCGAAACUUCUCAAAUGUGAGAUUUGUGUGAUGACUAUCUAAACCUAUCAUCACAUUAUGCUCCAACUGUUCUUGAACAUAAUAAAGACCUAUUUUUCGCAGCCAUUAAUAACUUGUAUAGUUCUAUUAUUUACAUUCCGUAUUUUCUAGAUAGAUUAUCAGUAUCUUGCAUACUGUGUGUAAUCUUUUGAUAUAUGUUGUUUUGAUAUAAUGCUUAAAUAUUAUAUCCACCCUAUAAGACCUAUUAAGAUCAAUCAAGCCUAUAUUGUAUGAUGCCUUGUGCGCAAUGUGUGUAAAAUUUUGGCUCAAAUGCAAUUGUUCAUUGUAACUUUAUUUUUGCUGUAAUUUAAAGGGUUGUAAUUAUUAUGAGCCAUUUUGUUGUAAAUUAUACAUUGCCAUUGUGAUGUAAUAUUGACUGUGUGAUGUAAAAGGCUUGAUUGACUAAAAAUAGAUCUAAAUUGUGUAGGGGUGUGAUAUCAUGAUGUCAUUAUAAAGGUAUAAUAAUUUCAAAUUGGAAUAAUUAGUGUAGUCACCAAAGUGACCCUAAUUAUGAAAAUUUGAAAUUUUGGCUACGUUUAAGUUUAGUGACAUCAAAAUUGUGCUUAAAAUAUGGAAUAAUAGUGUACCGCCCAAAGGAGGGCUAUUAUUAUCAAAUUUAAGCAGAAAUAGAUAGUAAGAUUAUUUAUUAAUGCAUGAAGUGUUCUAUACCUAAAGGUAUAACAUGGACUUGUUAUUAAUAAGUAUGACUUACUAGUCUAUACUGAGACUAUUUUUAUAAUUAUGAGCAGAACUUCUAGAGUGUUGCAAUCUCGCCCAAAGGAGAGGCUGCAAUGACUCCUAAGCAUGCUCAUAAAAUAAAUCAUAAAGAUUAAUGAUUUAUUUUCUGUUAUGGUUUAUGAUCAUAAUGUGGGUAUGUUUAUUUAUUUGCAGUUAUUCCUACAUCUGCUGUGAUUGAUAAUGGCAAUCGCAUUCCUUACUUAAAUGGAUCAAAUUUUUCUGAAUGGAAAAAAAGAAUUAUGUUUACAUUAGGGUGCAUGGAUUUAGACUUGGUGUUUCGAGUAGAUGAACCAUCUGCACUUAAUGCUAAAAGUACUGACGCUGAAAAGGCCUUUCAUGAGAAAUAGGAGAAAUCGAAUAGGCUUAAGCCUUCUGCUUAUGCAGGCUCAUGUUGGCAAGAAUAUUCGUGGCUCUAUUCCUAUUUGCAUAACAACUAAAAAUUUUAUGAAGGCCAUAGAGGAUCAGUUUGUCAGUUCUGACAAAGCUAAAGCAAGCACCCUAAUGUCUAAGAUGGCUUCAAUGAAAUACUCGAGUUCAGGGAGCAUUCGUGAGCACAUUAUGGAGAUGAAAGAUAUUGCUUUUCAGUUGAACAAGAUGGAGUUUACUAUUUCUGAAACUUUUCUUGUCCACUUUAUAUUAAAUUCCCUACCAGCUGAGUACGGUCCCUUUAAAAUCUCCUACAACACACAGAAGGAGAAGUGGUCUAUUAAUGAUCUACUGUCAAUAUGUGUUCAAGAGGAAGAGAGAAUUAAAGGAGAAAGAGUGCAAAGUGCACAUUUGGUCUCUAACCAUACUUCCAAAGUUGGAAAAGAUAAGGGAGGUCCUUUUAUGAAGAAGCAAAAGACUAAUCCAUCAGCUGGGACAUUUAACUCUGGUGGUAAAUUUAAAGUCAAAUGCUUUUUCUGCCGUAAGAAGGGCCACACAAAGAAGGAAUGUAUUAAGUAUAAAACGUGGCUGGAGAAGAAAGGUAACUCCUCUUUUGUCUAUUAUGAGUGUAAUUUAGUUAAUGUUCCUCUUUAUAGUUGGUGGAUUGAUUCAGGUGCUACUGUGCACAUUGCCAAUAACGUGCAGAGAUUUCUAAACCAGAGGGAACCAACUGAAUAUGAACGUAACAUCUUUUUGGGCAACAAGAUGGCGUCAUGUGUGAGGGCAGUUGGUACCUGUAGGCUGGUUCUAGACACGGGUUACGUGCUGGAUUCGGACGACACCUUUUAUGUACCUUCUUAUAGUAGAAAUCUUAUUUCAAUUUCUAGAUUAGACAGAGUUGGCUACUCUUUUAUCUUUAAAAAUUUUAGUUUAUCUAUCUACAAGAACUCUAGUAUAGUAGAUUCCGAUUACCUAACCGAUGGCUUGUAUCAACUUAAUCUUAAAUAUCAGUUUAACGAAUCUUUGGUCGUCCAGCAUGCAAUUGGCAAGAAGCGAAGUUUAUUAAAUGAACAAUCUUCCAUACUAUGGCAUAAGAGACUUGGGCAUAUCUCUAAGGAGAGAAUUCAAAGGCUAGUAAAGGAAAGGGUGUUAGCGCCCUUAGACUUUACUGACUUUGAUACAUGUAUUGAUUGUAUAAAGGCAAAGCAAACCAAUGUCUCCAAAAAGGGUGCCAAAAGAAGCAAUGCUAUUCUUGAAAUUGUGCACACGGAUAUUUGUGGACCAUUCACCCCUUGUAUUACGGGUGAAAAGUACUUUGUCACCUUUAUAGAUGACUAUUCACGUUACAUGUAUCUUUACCUAUUGUCUGAUAAGGCAGAAGUACUUCAAGCCUUUAAAGAUUAUAAGACGGAGGUAGAGAAACAGUUAGGUAAAGUGAUAAAGGUAGUUAGAUCAGAUAGAGGUGGCGAGUACUAUGGUCGAUUCACAGAAAUAGGACAAAGAGAAGGACCAUUAGCACGAUAUCUUAGAGAUGAAGGUAUUGUACCACAAUACACAAUGCCUGGUACACCUAGUCAAAAUGGUGUAGCAGAAAGAUGAAAUCACACACUUAAAGAGAUGGUCCGUGCUAUGCUUUGUCAUUCUACCCUUCCUUUAAUAUUGUGAAGCUUUAAAGACAACAGCACACGUGCUAAAUAAAGCUCCUACUAAGGCUGUUCAGAAAACUCCAUAUGAGCUCUGGACAGGUAGGAAACCAUCAUUAUACUAUAUGCACAUUUGGGGUUGUCCUGCUGAAGCUAAGAUUUAUAACCCACAUGAAAAGGCAUUUGAUCCUAGGACAACUAGUGGAUAUUUUAUUGGCUAUCCAGUGAGAUCAAAGGGUUAUAGAUUUUAUUGCCCAGGACAUACACCUAAGAUUAUAGAAACAGGAAAAGCUAGAUUUCUUGAAAAUAGCAACUUCAAUGGGAGUGACAUACCUCGUGAAGUUAGUUUUGAGGAGUCACAAGGUUCAUCAGGUGAUAUGGAAACUCCAAUACACAUUCCUGUGAGUGUGAUUCAAGUGGAAGAGCUAAUCGCUUUAAAACCAAUUCUUGACCCAGUUGUUGCAGUAGAGCCACAAUCAAUUCAACCGCCGCAAGAUGCGGAUCAAGGUACAAGAUUGUGGAGAUCAACAAGAAUAAGAAAAUCCGCUAUCCCUUCAAAUUAUGAGGUGUAUCUUCAAGAGCCGAAUAAAGAUUUGGAGGACAUAGAUGAUCCUAUUUCCUUUUCACAGGCCAUGGAGAGUGAAUACUCACAUAAGUGGUAUGAUGCCAUGAAGGAAGAGUUAGACUCUAUGGAUAAAAACCAUGUUUGGAAUCUUGUAGAUCCACAUGAAGGAAUUAAAUCUAUUGGAUGCAAAUGGAUAUACAAACCAAGAGGAACUGUAAAGGUGAGAUCGAAAGGUAUAAGGCCGGACUUGUAGCUCAAGGUUUCACUCAAAGAGAGGGCAUAGAUUAUAAUGAGACGUUUUCUCCGGUUUCUUCAAAGGACUCAUUCAGAAUAGUUAUGGCCCUUGUAGCUCAUUAUGAUCUGGAGCUACAUCAAAUGGAUGUGAAAACGGCUUUUUUGAAUGGUGAUCUAGAAGAAGAGGUAUAUAUGAAACAACCUCAGGGUUUCAUUGCAAAUGAUAAAAGUCAUAUGGUAUGCAAAUUGAAAAAGUCAAUAUAUGGACUUAAACAAUCCUCCCGUCAAUGGUUUUUUAAAUUCAAUAGGGUUAUCCUGUCAUACGGUUUUACACCAAAUACCGUUGAUAGGUGCAUGUACCUAAAAGUUAGUGGGAGUAAGUUCAUAAUAUUGGCAUUAUAUAUCGAUGAUAUAUUGCUUGCCAGCAAUGACUUAGGGAUAUUGCAUGAAACAAAGAGAUUUCUUUCCACGAGUUUUGAGAUGAAGGAUAUGGGUGAAGCCGCUUACGUUUUCGGUAUUGAGAUUCAUCGAGAUAGACAUAAAGAUAUUCUUGGUUUAUCUCAGAAGGCUUAUAUCUCUAAAGUCCUUGAAAGAUUUGGAAUGCAAAAUUGCUCUUCUGGACCUGCACCUAUUGUGAAGGGAGAUAAACUUAGCUCCAAGCAGUGCCCAAAGAAUGAAAUCAAAAGAAAGCAGAUAAGGAACAUACCGUAUGCUUCGGCAGUUGGGAGCCUGCAGUAUGCUCACACGUGUACUCGUCCAAACAUUUCUUAUGCUGUUGGGUUACUUGGUCGUUUUCAAAGCAACCCCGGUAUAGAACAUUGGAAGGCUGCCAAAAAGGUCACGCGUUAUCUUCAAGGAACGCGAGAUUACAUCCUCACAUAUCAGAGAUCUGACCAUCUCGAGGUUGUAGGUUACUCAGAUGUAGAUUUUGCAGGGUGCCAAGAUAGUAGGAAAUCGACAACUGGUCUUAUCUUCCUACUUGCAGGGGGUGCCAUUACAUGGAGAAGUAUUAAACAAAAGACAACUGCUUCAUCCACAAUGGAAGCCGAGCUUAUAGCCUGCCUCGAGGCUUCAUCACAGGCUAUUUUGCUAAAGAACUUUAUUACCGGCCUUAAAAUCAUGGACUCUAUAGAAAAGCCACUACAGAUAUACUGUGAUAAUGAAGCUGCUAUUUCUUUUGCCAACAGCAACAAAAGCUCUAGUUCAUGCCGGUAUCUGGAUAUAAAGCUCUAUGUGAUUAAUGACCGAGUUGAUAAUCAUAUAAUAUCUGUAGAUCAUGUUGGAACAUAGUAUAUGCUUGCAGAUCCAUUUACCAAAGGGCUAGCACCAGGGUUGUACGCAGUACAUGUAAAGAAUAUGGGUCUCAACGGUUCAUUUUCUGUGUAACUGAUUUACAUUAUGAUAUUUAUGUGAUCACAUUCAGUUUUUAUGAUUAUCUAUUUUAACAUUUUGGACCAUUGAAUAGGUUUGAGAUUAUUCUAUUCAUAAAGUUUUCCACAAUAAAAUACUACGGACAAGAUGUUGAUAGUAUUGUGGUGCAUGGAAGGUCGUACUCACUUUUUGGGUAUUUGCCGCUAUGACUCAUACUAUUAAAACUUGGGGCAAAGUAUAAAGUUUUUAUAACUGUUGGAGUGAAUAUUUUAAAGUGGUACCACAUUUGGAUUUAUGAACUUUCUAAUCCCAUCCAUAGUUUAUUAAAAUAUAAAUAUAUAUGUAUAUUGUUUUACUUAUAAGUUGUGGUCAUGUCAAAUAGGCCAAGUGGGAGAAUGUUAGACUUAAGUCAUAUAACCGACUUCGGUGUGGCCCUAUUUGACCGACCCGCAACAUAUUGGAUGGGGUUAGUAUUGUUACCCGCUCCAUUAAGUUGAUUAAGAAAAAUGGUGGGAACGGUUAUGGGGAGUUGGAUCCACUACCUCACUAGUUGGUAGUUAUCCCCUUCGACUACUUGGUAGUUAUCCUCAUGAUGGGAAAGGAGGAUUAAUGACAUACAUACAAGGGAUGGUCUUUUUCUCUUUGAAGGUGUGAAAAAUACAAGCUUGUUUUAAAUUUGUGAAAUUUAGCCCUUUUUAUUGAUCUCGACAUUUAAUCACAGUGUAUGUGACAUUUCAAUCAUGGGUUCUCCCAUCCACAUUUUGGCCCCUUAAACCCAAAACCCUAAACUCACAUCAGAAACCCCCAUUACCCAACACCGACCCAAAAAUCAAACUUUACCAACUAAUCAUAAAAAAAAAGGCUCCCAUUGCAUCCAUCAUGAAUCGCGCCGGGAAAUUAGGGAUUGCUAAAUAUAAACAUUUAUAUAAAAAAGAAAAGACAAAAUAGGUGAGGCUUAGCAGGUUCGCACCAAAAUGGGGAAGGAGAGGGUGGGUGGCGCCCCUGUCGCCACCGAAGCCUUGUCUAGGGUUUCGUCGGCAACGGCGUUGGUAACGGAGAUGGGGCGCCUCGCCGCCCUUCGCGCCACGAGUAAACGGCUCCGCCGAGGAAGAACGGCGGCGGCGGCGGCGGCGGCGGCGGAGUGGGGGAGUGACGUAAGCAUGUCGUCGCUGCUACGCCUCGAGAGAGAGAGAGAGAGAGAGAGAGAGAGAGAGAGAGGAGGUGGAAACUUCUCGCGAGUCGGAGACGAAGCCUCGCCUGCUCAACGAGACAGGGGAGAAGGCGCGGGUGCGGGCGCCGCGGGCGCGGGCGCGGGCGCGCGCGAGGCGCGAGCGGGCGCGGGCGCGGGCGCGGGCGCGGAUCGGGUAGCUCGGGUGGCUUUUUUUUUUCUUUUCCCUCUCUCUCUCUCCAUUAAUUUCGACUAGGGAUUUCAAUGGAUUUCAACGAGCGUGUAUACUGAAAUAUUAUCUGAACCCAAAUCGAACCAAGCGGAUUUAUCCAAGCUAAACAAUAUGAUUCGGUUAUGAGUAUAAAAAAUAAAAUCCGACGGAUAUAGUUACGGAUAUGAAUUUUAUAUUUACUCGACCCGAAUUCAAACCCAAAUCCAAACCCGAUCCGAACCUGAACCCGAACCCGAACCUAAAUCCGAAUAAAAUAUAUAAUAUUUUGAUAUCUAGAGAUGGUAUUGGAUAUUUAAAGAAUGUAUUGUUGUCUUCAACUAUUUAAAUUUGUGCUUUUCUUAUUCAGAUAUUGAUAUUGUUGGCAUGAAUGUUUUAAUGGUGUAUUUGAUUGUGUUUUAAAAAUUUUAGUUUGAAAUUUUUUAAAAAAAAUUUUCAAUUUUACUAUAAUAUAUUUUAAAAUAUGCUAAAAAGAAAUCAUUAUUUCGGGUUUGGGUUCAGGUUCAGGUUUCGAAUUUUUGGUCAGGUUCGAAUAUAGGUAUGAAUUUUUAAAACCCACCGAGUUUGGAUCUGGGUUCGGAUUUUAAUUUGGUUUUCCGGUUCGAAGUCGGGUUUUUGAAAAUCCGACCCAAACCUAACCUAUUGACAUCCCUAAUUUCAACAGUGUGCACUNCUAAAAUUUAAAUUAUAUAAUAGAUAAUUUUUUACACAUAACUUUUUAUAUAGCUAAAAUUACAUAUAUUAAAUAUAAAUUUUAAUAUCAUAAUAUUUAUCACUUAAAAAUAAGUUGUACAAUAAAAAAUAAAAGAGAGAUUAAUAGAGUUCAAUUUAAUUACUUAUUUUAAUAAAUUUAUAAUUACGAGAAUUCUAUAAAAUAUCUUAACUGAAUGUGUAAAAAUAAACGGCGUAUUCAAAAUUUGAAGUCAAAAUAUCGUUGAUCAACUCAAAUCAAAUAAAGUAAAAGAUUAAAUAAUAAAAUAAAAAUUUUGAAAAAUAAAAUAAUCGAUUCAAAAUGGUCCAUUUGGUUUUAAUAUUAAACUUCAAUACUAUAUUUAUAGUUUUAUAAGUAAUCAAUUUUAUAUUCAGAAUCCACUAGAAUAUUCAAAUCUGAUUAGCCAUUAAUCACGUUCAAAAUAUUAUGAAUUGGUCGUCUUUUAAUUUUAACAAUUAUACAUCCUAAACUUUAUGAGAUAGUUUAACAGGUUAUUUUUCUCGAGUAAAAUUACUAAUUGAGCAAAACCAGUGGAUGCUUAAUGCUAUCUUCGUAUAGAAUAAAAAUCAAACAUAAAAAAAAGUAAAAUACACUUCUAGUCCUCAAACUAUGAGACAACGGAUUUUAGUCUUCGCAUUUUAAUGGAUCGUAAUUUCCAACUCAAAAAUAUGAGACAAAAGAUUCAUUCCAUUUUACUUGAUAGACUGAGCCUUCCCCGACAAAGAAAUAAUAUAUAUAUAUAGAGAGAGAGUUGAGCUGGAAUACUAUUGGUAGCAAACGGGUUCCGUUGCCACCCAUUUGAUUUCAAUGAUGGAGCCUCCAAAUCGACGAUCGGUACCGUUGAAAAUGAUCUAUACCAUUUGAAGUAUUUAGAAAUCAAAUUUCAUGCUUUUUCGAUAUUGUUCUCUUGUUCAUCAAGUGGGCGUAAAAAUGAACGGGUGAAAAUGAAUAUCCUCUAAAAAGUGAUGAUAGAAAAUUUGUAAUCAAGAUCGAGAGUACAGAUCUUGUUUUCUAAAUAGUUUAAAGAUUUUUCUAACAAAAAUUCAAUUGAUUUGGAUAGCUUUAUACCGUUAAACGAGAAAAUACCUCAUAUCGACCAUUAAAAUUAUAAAUUUUGAAACCCUUUGAUUAUUAGGUCAAUGAUGUCAAAAAGAUAAGAAAUUUGAUUUCUAGAUACUUCAAGUGAUAUAGAUCAUAUUUAAUGGUGCCGAUCGUCGAUUUGAAGGCUCCAUUAUCGAAAACAAAUGGGUGGUGUUUGCUAUUGGUAGCAUUCCAGCUCAACUCUCUCUCUCUCUCUCUCUCUCUCUCUCUCUCUCUCUCUCUCUAUAUAUAUAUAUAUAUAUAUAUAUAUAUAUGUGUGUGUGUGUGUGUGUGUAGAGCUACUAUGCUAUCGGAAGCAUAAAGUAGUUGGUGCUUCCAAUUUUUUAGCCCUUGGAUUAAAAAUUCUAUGGUUAGGAUGAUAGCGGUCCCCUUAAGGUUGAGUGGUCUCCCUAUGGUCGAGUAGUCCCCAUUGAUUAAUAAUAUUAAUCUAAGGAUGCGUUUGGUUCGCGUUAUUUUUAAGAUUCCUAAUAAUCCAAUAGGAAUAAAAAAAUAUGACAGUGUUUGGCUAAACGCACUAAGUAAUCUAGUUGGUAAUACUGGAUUUACUUGGGAAUGAGAUGCAUCCCAAAGUACUAAUCUCAUUCCUUUGAGAGAGGGUGGGUAUCCUUAUAUUAAUGGAUUGGAGUAAUUAUAAUAUGUCUAAUCUCUUUCUUUCUCCCUACUCGCCGGAUAGUUGGCAUUAUUAUUUUCUUUACACUCUAACCUCAUAUCUCUCUCUAAACUUAUCUUUUUCUCUCUCUAAACUUCAACUCUUUUUCUCUCUUUAAAUUAAGCUAUUUCUCCCCCUCUUUUUUUAAAAUCUCAACCAUUUUAUUCUCUCUAACCUCGACUCUAUUUCUCUUCCUAUUUCUUUAAUUAUGAUCUCUCUUUCUAACCUAUAUUCUCUCUCUUUUUUUCUAAAAAGAUGUUGAAAUUUUUUAUAAUAUUAUUUAAAAUUAAAUUAAUUAAUUAAUUAAUUAAUUGUAUAUUUUUUGUAAUUUUAAAUAACAUGACUAAAUAAUAUGACCAUAUGAACCAAACACCGAAAUACUACAUUCUUAGUAAUAGGAUGAAUAUGAAUAAGAUUCUCGGAUAUCUUUCUACUCCUAAUAAUCUUUCAUUGNNNNNNNNNNNNNNNNNNNNNNNNNNNNNNNNNNNNNNNNNNNNNNNNNNNNNNNNNNNNNNNNNNNNNNNNNNNNNNNNNNNNNNNNNNNNNNNNNNNNNNNNNNNNNNNNNNNNNNNNNNNNNNNNNNNNNNNNNNNNNNNNNNNNNNNNNNNNNNNNNNNNNNNNNNNNNNNNNNNNNNNNNNNNNNNNNNNNNNNNNNNNNNNNNNNNNNNNNNNNNNNNNNNNNNNNNNNNNNNNNNNNNNNNNNNNNNNNNNNNNNNNNNNNNNNNNNNNNNNNNNNNNNNNNNNNNNNNNNNNNNNNNNNNNNNNNNNNNNNNNNNNNNNNNNNNNNNNNNNNNNNNNNNNNNNNNNNNNNNNNNNNNNNNNNNNNNNNNNNNNNNNNNNNNNNNNNNNNNNNNNNNNNNNNNNNNNNNNNNNNNNNNNNNNNNNNNNNNNNNNNNNNNNNNNNNNNNNNNNNNNNNNNNNNNNNNNNNNNNNNNNNNNNNNNNNNNNNNNNNNNNNNNNNNNNNNNNNNNNNNNNNNNNNNNNNNNNNNNNNNNNNNNNNNNNNNNNNNNNNNNNNNNNNNNNNNNNNNNNNNNNNNNNNNNNNNNNNNNNNNNNNNNNNNNNNNNNNNNNNNNNNNNNNNNNNNNNNNNNNNNNNNNNNNNNNNNNNNNNNNNNNNNNNNNNNNNNNNNNNNNNNNNNNNNNNNNNNNNNNNNNNNNNNNNNNNNNNNNNNNNNNNNNNNNNNNNNNNNNNNNNNNNNNNNNNNNNNNNNNNNNNNNNNNNNNNNNNNNNNNNNNNNNNNNNNNNNNNNNNNNNNNNNNNNNNNNNNNNNNNNNNNNNNNNNNNNNNNNNNNNNNNNNNNNNNNNNNNNNNNNNNNNNNNNNNNNNNNNNNNNNNNNNNNNNNNNNNNNNNNNNNNNNNNNNNNNNNNNNNNNNNNNNNNNNNNNNNNNNNNNNNNNNNNNNNNNNNNNNNNNNNNNNNNNNNNNNNNNNNNNNNNNNNNNNNNNNNNNNNNNNNNNNNNNNNNNNNNNNNNNNNNNNNNNNNNNNNNNNNNNNNNNNNNNNNNNNNNNNNNNNNNNNNNNNNNNNNNNNNNNNNNNNNNNNNNNNNNNNNNNNNNNNNNNNNNNNNNNNNNNNNNNNNNNNNNNNNNNNNNNNNNNNNNNNNNNNUAUAUAUAUAUAUAUAUAUAUAAAUAUAAAAUUUUAUGUUUUUAAAAUUAAUAGUUAACGUCAACGAUUCAUCCGCCCCUGUAGUGGAAUGGGGAAGGGUGGAGUUAGGUAUAUUCGAAGUGACGAAAAGCUAGUUAGAGCAAAUCACAAUUAAAAUUCGUGAGUGUCUGUAUAUUUUAGAUAAAUUGACUGCAUCUUCUAACAACUCGAUCUGACACAGGGAGGGCGGCGGGGGCGGCAUGUGGGCUGCAAAGAGUGAAACUCUCAUAACCGGUCAUGUUAGAAACAAAUCUCCUCUUUAAGAGAAUACUAGUGUAGUGACCCGCGCGAUGCGGCAGGUAAAAAUGUUUUAAUAAAUACAUAUAAACGUAAAGAAGAAAUAAAAAAAUAUAACCAUAUUGAUUUAACAAUAUAAAAAAUAUAUUAGAGACUUUUAUAAUUAAAUUACAACUUACCAAAACACAAUAAAAGAAAUCGAAAAAAAGAAAGAACUAUGGAAGAAGAAAAAUUGUUACAUAAAUAUCAUGAAAAAACAUUUGGAAUAUGCGACAAAAGGAUAACAAAUAUUAAAUGACACACUGAAGAACCUCAAAUUCACAUUUAGCUAAUCAAAUAAAGAGAUUCAUUUGUCCUAUUCUCUUUUUUGGCCCUAAUCAUAUUCCUCUUAAAAACCAAUUAUGAAGUGACCUACACAUUAAAGUGGAUAGAUACUAAUAAAGUAAAAUUUUAAAAAUAAUAUAUUGUCAGUAAAGAUAAAAAUAAAAUAUAUUCAUUUUUAUUAAUUAAAUAAUCUUAAAUAUACAGAUCAAGCCGAGAAUAACUAAAAAAAUAUAAUACGCCUAAAGUAACAAAAAGAAUUAUAAGAAAACUCUAAAUUAAGCAAAAUUUGAAAUUUAUAUAGUACUUAUAUAUUAUUCACUUUCCAAUUGCUCUUCAUUUAUGGGAUACAAAAUUUGGAGCUAUCAUAUGUUGACUUGAAGUCAAUGCUAGAGCCAAAAAAAUAAGGGAAAAAUACUAUAAAAUGAAAUUUAAAAGGAUAAUAAAUAGAGACCAAAUAGGGCCGACUCAAUGUACAAAACCCGACACAGAUUAUUUGAUUUGACGUAAAUGGAGAAUAAUAUGUGGUUAGUCAAGGAUCACAAUACAGUCUCAGACGACAGUUAAAGUAAUAGAAUAAAGAUUAAGACUUCCUACCUGCUGGGGAUUGAGCAUAUAGUAGGAAAAAAAAAUUAUCUAUUUUUAUUGGUGCUCACUGAGAAAUUUUGAUCAAUUUUAAUAUUUGAUGGGCUAGCAUUUGAAUCCUUCAAUCAACUUGUACAGAAGUACUUGAAAAUAUAGUCAAAAUAUACAGGUGGUACUACCACAUCGCCAUCUCAAUUCCUAGAGAAGAUGCAACAGGACUACUUGAUAACACCAAUACUUUUAAGUUCCUAGAAUAUAGUUCGUAAAUUGGUUAUAAAGAUAAUAAAAUAACUUACAAAUUACAAAGAAAAUUAUGGGAUUAUAAAGAUUUUGCACUUAUCUUGCAUCUCCUCUUGUGUAUAGAAAAUCUAGAUGAAUACUAAUGAAAAGUAGUGAAAAUUAUGUAUAGAAGAAAAAAGUAGAAGACAUUCAUAUCACCAAGAAUCGCAACCACAUCAUUUAUUUUUUUUUUCUGCCUCACUAAACUCUUUGAGGCAUUAUAUUAAAUAAUUUUGAAGACACCGAACUUAACAAUUAAACUAUCAAAGAAUGAAAAAUAAAGAAAUUUAAGCAUCAGAAAGCUGCUGAGAUAAUUUGGAAGAGUGAGGAGGCAAUACCUUUCUAAAAUAAUCAAUCCUUUCAAGACCUUUCAGGCACUUUAUUAUUAUCAAUCUAAUUGGUCUCAUGCCUAUGCCUAUUUGAAUUUUCACUCUAAUUUUAAAUUUGGUUUACGAAAAACCAAUAAUGCUCAAAUUGGUCCAUCUAGUAAGCAUGAAAUACAACUAGUCAAAAACAACCAAAAAGCAAAUAAUAGACCUUCUAAGACAUUAAAAAUUACAAAAAUUUAUCAUACAAAUGGUUGCAUUCGCAACAACCAGAUUUUGCCUAGUUGUACCCUCGUCACUGCCGUUGUAGUUGCCGCUACAGGUGACAAAAGAGGAAAAAUUGAGUAGAGAUGUCUGGAUUUACCAACUGAAAUAAUAAUCGUACAUUAAUUUAAAAGCAAACAAUGCUUAAAAAAAAAAAAAAAUACAUGAAUUGACAAAGAAAACUGGUAACUGAGGAUAAAAAUUGGCAAAAUGGAUUAUUUAUUGUGAUUGAAAAAAAUAGGGAAAGUAAGAGAGAGGUGUGUGACUUACAAUGUCGAUCUCAUGUGGAAAAACCCAGUGGGAGAAGGAAAUGAGCUUCAGAUAUGAUGGCGAGGGCUCUAGCAAGCAGCGCACAGCAGUAUUGUGAUCAUCAGCCAUGGGGUCAUGGCGGCACUCCUUCCCCUCAUUCCCUGCAAUCAGUAGAAUUUUCCUACUGAUGGCAGCUCACCGAUAGGAUUGGAGGCAUUAUGACGGCGAUUGGUGAAGAGGACAAAGGAGUUGUAUAAAUAGAUAGAUUAGUUACACAAAUUAAAGCAUACAAUAGGAAAAUAAAUAGGAAAAGAAGCAAUAUAAUACAAUCAGUAGUGUUGUUGACCUGCCCAUGUAUUUCUAAAUGGAUCCAGUUCCAUUUAUCAAAUUUCUUCCGGUCCUUGCGUCUUCACCUAGAAAUUAAAAAUUUGUGCACUCUUUUUAGGCCAAUAUGAACUCAAUCUCUUAGCAAAAUCAUCCACUACUUUGUAUUUAUCAACAUAAAAGAAUAAAAGUCUAGCUGAAGUAGAGAUAAAAAAAAAUGGUUAAAAAUAACAAAGACAUUAAUUAACAAUGCUUGAAGCAAGCAAAAAGAAAAAAAAAAAAAUGAAUUUUAGAAAGUUUGAUUUUACUACUUAAUAUUUUGUUCCUUUUGAUUUCUAUAAACUCCUCAAAAGCCUUUGUAUUAGAUUGAUUAGAGAUUUUUUUAUAAAACAACAUGACUCUUAAUAAGGAGACACUUGAAUUAAACAUAUAAAAAUAUGCAAUAAAAUUAACAUUAUUUAGGUAUAAAUUUGAACAAAAAAGGAUUUAAAAAAAUAUAAUUUAUAGGAGAAAUGGGGCGUGAUUCCUUAUGGUGGCCUCGGCGCCUAUUGGAAUGCGAAGAAUGGCGGCGGAGGCAGUGGUGCGCCGAGAGGCGCUGCCGAGAGGCUACCUGCUUGCCCUUCAUAUUACAUUUCUUCGCCCGACCUUUCUUUAUUUUUGCGGCCAAUUCUUUGAGCCUCUUCGCCUUGAACAGUCAAAUCCGAACACUAAUAAGAAUCUACCCAUCAAAGCACACAUCAUCUCUCAUCGAGAUGACAGCGAAAGUAAGGGGCGGGGUUCAAAGAAGGCAGAUAUAGGCGAGGAGGAGCUUCUCUGUGGUCUUAUGGAUCUUGGCGUGGGUAGCGUCGCGGUGGUGGCAGUGGGAGGCUAUGGUGUGGCGCGUAAGGGGCGGGGUGGCACUGUCGAAGACGAAGAUUGGCUUAGUGUGGAGGAAGAGGAGCUUGUAGAUGCCCUAUAUUCCCUUUAAACUUUAAGAUACAAUUAGUAAAAUCCAUAACUAUGCAUGUAUUCAAUUUUUAAAAUCAAAUUCUAUGAAGAAAAAAAAGAGUAAAUAAGAAAAAGAAGCAAUCUUCUAUAAUGCCUCUCCAUCUUCUUUGACCAGUUAUUCUUAAAGUUUAAGUAUGAAAUUUUAGCGAUUGACCUUAAAUUUGAAAGAAAGGCUUAUAUUCCCAUCUGCUUCUUCGGUUUUUUUUUUUUUUUUUUUGAUACUAAUUCUUCUUUUUAGAAAGAAGAAGAAGAAGAAGAAAGUAUAAGAAGAAGGAUACUAUACUGCUACUGCUGCUUGCCUGCUUUUUAUAUAUUCAAAUCCUAAACUCAAACUUGGAUUAAAAAAAUAAAAUAAACAAAAAAAAGGAUUAGAGUACGUAAGAAGAAGAAGCCCUUCAUGAACUGCGCCAUCCAUGUGCUCGCAUCUGCUAGGCCCUAACAAUCCAAUCGGUACACGCAUGGGCACGGCUACCGCGAUUGAAUCUGCAGUAGCGGAAGCUGUGGCGGUAGCCUGGCCCUAACAACCCGAUCAGCACACGCACGGGCAUAGCUACCGUGAUUGAAUCUGCAGUAGCGGAAGCUGUGGCGGUAGCUCUCUUGAGCCACCGCCGCUGCUGUAGCUACAGUCGCGAGUGCGAAUGGAGCGGCUUGCGAUUGCCAUUGGAAUUGUUGCGAUUAGAAUUGAUCAGAUCGGGGGCAGGAUCGGGAUCGUCGGGGAGGGAGGUGGAGCGGUCGAAGGAGGGGCUCCGGAUGUUGCAGGCGAUCUCGAAAAAGACCUUCUAAUGGGGGGAGCAAAAGGCGAAGGAGUCGUUGGCAAAGCGAAAGCGGGGGGAUGCAGGUGCUGCUUAGCUGCGGUGAGAGGGAGAGAAAUACCCGCUGCCGUUCGGUAGAGGGGGAAGAGGAAGCGUCCGUUGCCGUUCGGUAGAGGGGGGAGACGAAGCGUCCGCUGCCAUUCAGUAGAGCGGGGAGACGAAGCGUUAAAUUAAUAUUUAGUUUUGAAAAUUUACAUAUAAAUAAAAAAAAUAAAAAAUACUCCAAAUUAAGGAGAAUAUGCCAUGUCAGCACCCCAAAUUAAGGCGAAUAUGCCAUGUCAGCUAAUAACAUGGGAAUUAAUAUAGAGUUUAUAGAAGAUAUAUAUAUAUAUAUAGAGCUAGGCUCGUAUGCUUUCGAAAGUACGGGAGCCUCCGUACUUGUAAGUUGUUUUCAAUAAUAGGACAUCCGAUUCGGCGAUCAGUUUCAUUAGACAUGAUCUACGCUAUUGGAAAUACUUAGAAACCAAAUUUCAUAAUUUUUUGACUUCGUUUGUCUAGUAAACGAGUAGCCUCAAAAUGAACGGCUGAAAAUAAAAAUCUCAUAAAAAAUAGUGAUAAAAGACUCAAAUUUUAAAUCGGAAGUAUUGGUCUUGCUAUUGAUGUUAAGUAGAAUUUUCUAUUAAAUUUUCAUCUAAUUUGGAUACUUCUACACUGUUGAACUUAAAAACGUGCCACAUCGGCCGUUAAAAUAGUCAUUUUCGAGACCUUUUGAUCGCUUGGUAAAUGAUGCCAAAAAAUAAUAAAAUUUGGUUUCUAAAUAGUUCCAAUAGGGUAGAUUAUACUUAACGGAGCCGAUCGUCGAAUUGAAUUUCCUAUCAUCGAAAACAACUUACAAGCACGGAGGUCUCCGUACUUUCGAAAGUACAGGAGACUUACUCUCUCUCUCUCUCUCUCUCUCUCUCUCUCUCUCUCUCUCUCUCUCUUUCUCUCUCUAUAUAUAUAUAUAUAGAGUCCGGCUACUAUGCUAUUGUUGCGUGCCAAAAAUCUCCGAUCCUCGACCUGGUCACAGGUCCUCCUCGGGGAGCGUGUCAGGAUGGAAACGGCUUAUGAUACUGACCCUCGAAGUUUGCGCCAUUUGAUUGAUCAAGCGAUUCAGCUGACGAGGGAUCCGAUCAGCCGGGUUCGAAGCCUCUAUAGUAAAUUUGGUUCGGCUAUUAGAGCCGAAUGUACUGCCCAAGAAAAAGCUGAAGUCGGCCCAUGAGCCGAAUAGCUAAAGAACACAGAAAUUGAUCGGCUUGAAGAGCCGAAUGCCUUUAUAUUCACUGAUAAGAAGUACAGGGGUCGAGUGUGCCGGAUGGCAUGCAGACUCAGUUGAUCUACUUAAAACUACUCCUAGGAAGAACAAUAAAUACUGGAAAGAGAAAAUUACAAGUAGACUACUCCUAGAAAAUGCAGAAAAUUAUGAGGAAAAUAAGGGCGGUCUUUUGUUCACAGGAAAAAGACCUCUUUUUAGGGCGUUAUUGGCCUAUUUAUAGAUCGCCCAUUGAUCAGUUAUUGCUUUUACACGAUCGGCCACUAUCUCCUAAUAUUUCGGAUCACCUCCAGCCGAUCGGAACCACUUGCAAUGGCUUGCGGUUACUGUAACUUCCCUGAAGUCGUGCGAUUUAAUAUUCUGCCGGUGCUCCUGGUGCACUGCAAAUCAAUACAACUGAAUGGAGUACCGGUGUACCAUAUGUCCGCGCCUUAUUGGCUCAACAGCUAUUAAUAGCACGAAACACUUGGUGCUACCAAGUUUUCCGCCGUUAGAUCUACCCUUUUGAUCAUUUUCACUCAUUAUAUCAUACUAUUUAACUAACCACCCUCUCAACCCUAGGGGGCCCACAUCAUCUCUUAAUCCAAUGGCCAAAAACUUAGUAGCACCAAUGACUUGGUGUUAGUAAUAGUAUACUAGCCUAGUUCUAUAUAUAUAUAUAUAUAUAUAUAUAUAUAUAUAUAUAGAGAGAGAGAGAGAGAGAGAGAGAGAGAGAGAGAGAGAGAGUUGGACUGGGCUACUAUUUCUAGCAAAAUCCCAUUGUUGCUAUUAGUUUUUUAGCCUUUGGAUCAACUCUUUUCAUCAUUUCUAACCAUUGGAUUAAAUACUAACCCAGGUGCGGACACUCAACCCUAGGGGGACCACUCAACUCUUACUGACUAUUAUUAUUUUAACCUUACAAUUUUCAUCCAAAGGUUAAAAAACUUGAUUAAAAAAAAAGCGUUAUUACUAUUUAAUAGUUUUACUUAUAUAUACUAUAUAUAUGUAGGUAUAUAGCUAAUAUGUACGUAGUAAUAUUACUACUAGUAUAUAAGUAUAGGUAUAUAGUAUAGAGUUAUAUAUAUAUAGAAUAGGCUGGAAUAUAUUAAUAGUAAAAACGCUCUUUUUGCUAUCAAGUUUUUUAAUCCUUGGAUGAAAAAUUGUAGGGGUCAGUAUAAUAUUUAGUCGGUUAGAGGUUGAGUGGUCCACCCUAGCGUUGAGUUGGUCCCCACUGGGUUCAUAGUUAUUCUAUCCAAUGGUUAGAAAUGAUGAAAAGAGUUAAUCCAAAGGCUAAAACACUGGUGAGAACAAUGGAUUUUGCUACUAAUAGUAGCCCAGUCCAUAUAGUAUAUAUAACGUAUAUAUAUGUAAUAUAUAUAUAUAGUAUUAUAUUAUAUAGUAUAUAUAUGGUAAUAUACGUAUAUAUUAAUUAUGUAUGAUAUAUAUAUAUAUAUAUUAGUUUGGACUUCUUUUUAAUCUCUAAUUAAUAUUUCGGGAUUACCCCAUUCGAUUCAAGCUGACAACUAAGCAACAAUGUCAGUUUGAAUUUAAUUAUACAGGUUUGUAUGAUUUAGGCUAUAGGCUAUAGCACACUCAAUUUUAUUAGAUCAAAAUAAUCUAAACCCUAAACUCUAAUUAAUAUUUCCGGAUUAGCCCAUUCGUUUCAAGCUCACAACUAAGUAACAAUGACAGUUUGAAUUUAAUUAUACGGAUUUGUAUGAUUUAGGCUAUAGCACACUCAAUUUUAUUAGAUCAAAUUAAUCUAAUUAAGGACUUGGAUCCUAAUAAAUGUGACGUGUUCUAUUUAAUCCAAGCCCAAGUCAAAAAUUAGGCUGAUUUGGUUUUGAAUCCAAGGGGAAAUAAUAGUCGGCCCAACAAAAAUAAAUGGGUAAUGUAAUACACUGGACUUUCGCAAAUUGCGGAGUUCGAGUAUGUGGAAUGGUGUGUGGAUCACUCCUACAUGUUCUAAAAGGUUAGAACAAGUUUUUGGAUAAGUUAGAGGAUGAUUGGAAUGCUAAAAGUAAGAAAGUGCAUUGAUUGGGCGAAAUCAGCCUUUUCUGCUUGGUGUACCGGUACAGCCCUUAUGGUGUACCGGUACACAAUGCAGAAACGUGGCAGCUUGGGUAUUUUGGUCUUUUCACAUCUUGAUCUCAUCCAUAUGAAGCCAGCACGACUUCUGGAGCUCAGUGGAGGUUGCUGAGGCUCAGAGCACCCUUCUUCUUCAUCUCUCUCUCUCUCUCUCUAGGGUUUUUCUCUCUCUACAUCGAAUUCGCCGAUUUCGCUCGUUUUCGUCGCCGCGCGCGUUCUUCGCUGGUUGCGAGCGUCGCAGCACCUUUGUGCACGUGCAAGAGAGCGUUUUGGAGGGAUUUUCGCAGCCCUGGACCAGUGAGGUGCUGGUUGGAAGCUUGAGAAGGUAAACGACUUGAUUUUUCCGUUAUCGACGUUCUAUUCGUCGAUUUGAGUAGCGAUUUCAGAUUUUUGCUCUUGGCUGUUCUAAACUGAGAAUUCAGCUAUUAUUAAUGAGUUAAUUAGCUGUGAAUUAACCUUCUUAGACCUGGGAUAAGCUACUUUGAAGCUUAAUUGGAAUAUUUAGCCAUUUAUGAAGCUAAAAUCGGAACUUAAUGCACUAAGUUGUGCGAAUUGAUGCAAAUUGGGAUUNNNNNNNNNNNNNNNNNNNNNNNNNNNNNNNNNNNNNNNNNNNNNNNNNNNNNNNNNNNNNNNNNNNNNNNNNNNNNNNNNNNNNNNNNNNNNNNNNNNNNNNNNNNNNNNNNNNNNNNNNNNNNNNNNNNNNNNNNNNNNNNNNNNNNNNNNNNNNNNNNNNNNNNNNNNNNNNNNNNNNNNNNNNNNNNNNNNNNNNNNNNNNNNNNNNNNNNNNNNNNNNNNNNNNNNNNNNNNNNNNNNNNNNNNNNNNNNNNNNNNNNNNNNNNNNNNNNNNNNNNNNNNNNNNNNNNNNNNNNNNNNNNNNNNNNNNNNNNNNNNNNNNNNNNNNNNNNNNNNNNNNNNNNNNNNNNNNNNNNNNNNNNNNNNNNNNNNNNNNNNNNNNNNNNNNNNNNNNNNNNNNNNNNNNNNNNNNNNNNNNNNNNNNNNNNNNNNNNNNNNNNNNNNNNNNNNNNNNNNNNNNNNNNNNNNNNNNNNNNNNNNNNNNNNNNNNNNNNNNNNNNNNNNNNNNNNNNNNNNNNNNNNNNNNNNNNNNNNNNNNNNNNNNNNNNNNNNNNNNNNNNNNNNNNNNNNNNNNNNNNNNNNNNNNNNNNNNNNNNNNNNNNNNNNNNNNNNNNNNNNNNNNNNNNNNNNNNNNNNNNNNNNNNNNNNNNNNNNNNNNNNNNNNNNNNNNNNNNNNNNNNNNNNNNNNNNNNNNNNNNNNNNNNNNNNNNNNNNNNNNNNNNNNNNNNNNNNNNNNNNNNNNNNNNNNNNNNNNNNNNNNNNNNNNNNNNNNNNNNNNNNNNNNNNNNNNNNNNNNNNNNNNNNNNNNNNNNNNNNNNNNNNNNNNNNNNNNNNNNNNNNNNNNNNNNNNNNNNNNNNNNNNNNNNNNNNNNNNNNNNNNNNNNNNNNNNNNNNNNNNNNNNNNNNNNNNNNNNNNNNNNNNNNNNNNNNNNNNNNNNNNNNNNNNNNNNNNNNNNNNNNNNNNNNNNNNNNNNNNNNNNNNNNNNNNNNNNNNNNNNNNNNNNNNNNNNNNNNNNNNNNNNNNNNNNNNNNNNNNNNNNNNNNNNNNNNNNNNNNNNNNNNNNNNNNNNNNNNNNNNNNNNNNNNNNNNNNNNNNNNNNNNNNNNNNNNNNNNNNNNNNNNNNNNNNNNNNNNNNNNNNNNNNNNNNNNNNNNNNNNNNNNNNNNNNNNNNNNNNNNNNNNNNNNNNNNNNNNNNNNNNNNNNNNNNNNNNNNNNNNNNNNNNNNNNNNNNNNNNNNNNNNNNNNNNNNNNNNNNNNNNNNNNNNNNNNNNNNNNNNNNNNNNNNNNNNNNNNNNNNNNNNNNNNNNNNNNNNNNNNNNNNNNNNNNNNNNNNNNNNNNNNNNNNNNNNNNNNNNNNNNNNNNNNNNNNNNNNNNNNNNNNNNNNNNNNNNNNNNNNNNNNNNNNNNNNNNNNNNNNNNNNNNNNNNNNNNNNNNNNNNNNNNNNNNNNNNNNNNNNNNNNNNNNNNNNNNNNNNNNNNNNNNNNNNNNNNNNNNNNNNNNNNNNNNNNNNNNNNNNNNNNNNNNNNNNNNNNNNNNNNNNNNNNNNNNNNNNNNNNNNNNNNNNNNNNNNNNNNNNNNNNNNNNNNNNNNNNNNNNNNNNNNNNNNNNNNNNNNNNNNNNNNNNNNNNNNNNNNNNNNNNNNNNNNNNNNNNNNNNNNNNNNNNNNNNNNNNNNNNNNNNNNNNNNNNNNNNNNNNNNNNNNNNNNNNNNNNNNNNNNNNNNNNNNNNNNNNNNNNNNNNNNNNNNNNNNNNNNNNNNNNNNNNNNNNNNNNNNNNNNNNNNNNNNNNNNNNNNNNNNNNNNNNNNNNNNNNNNNNNNNNNNNNNNNNNNNNNNNNNNNNNNNNNNNNNNNNNNNNNNNNNNNNNNNNNNNNNNNNNNNNNNNNNNNNNNNNNNNNNNNNNNNNNNNNNNNNNNNNNNNNNNNNNNNNNNNNNNNNNNNNNNNNNNNNNNNNNNNNNNNNNNNNNNNNNNNNNNNNNNNNNNNNNNNNNNNNNNNNNNNNNNNNNNNNNNNNNNNNNNNNNNNNNNNNNNNNNNNNNNNNNNNNNNNNNNNNNNNNNNNNNNNNNNNNNNNNNNNNNNNNNNNNNNNNNNNNNNNNNNNNNNNNNNNNNNUAUGUUCAGCUAUAUGUUGCUCAUAGUUUAGGUUCAGGUUUAUGUUUCUCAUAUGUUAGGUCCUAGAGUUGUUUUUCCUCUUUAUUAGAGUUGGGGCUUUCAUUUAUAUGUAGUGCCCACAUGUUUUUCUUAUCUAUGUUACCACCAGAGAGAUAUAUAUAUACCUGUAGUGGGAGCUUUGCUCUGAUAUCAGGAUAGGACUUCUUGUUUUACUUCCUAUUGACUUGCUUCUUGUAGACGCCUUAUAUACUGCAGGUGUAUGGCGGGUCUGUUCACGUACCGGAUAUGCUUCCGCUGGUAUCCGGGCGUGACAGGUAAAUUACAUUGUUACCUCAUGAACUUUUGACGAAGUUUCACUUUAUCCCUCGAACUCCUAUAAUGGACAUCUAACACCCUAAACUUCAAUAUUUCAUUCAUAUUACCCCUUCCGUCAGUUUUCUGUCAAGUUCCGUUAACCGAAAACUGACGAAAGGAGUAAAACGAAUGAAAUAUUAGAGUUUAGGCUGUUAAAUGUCUAUUUUAGGAGUUUGGGGAUUAAGUGAAACUCGCCAAAAGUUCAGGAGGUACCAGUGCAAUUCACCGAGGUACCAGUGCAAUUUACCCUAAUAUGUUACUUAUGGAUUGACUACUAACCCUCAAGUUAAUGAUCAUACUUGAUUUUGAAUUUAUAUAUAUAUUUUUUAUCUUAAAAUAAAUCAUACCAUAAUUUAUCCUACAUUUUAUUGUAAUAAAAUAAAAGCAAAAAAAAUAAAUUAGAGUGGCUUAAAGAUAAGAAAAGAGCGAUACUAACUACCUACGAUGCUUGAACACUCUACUGUCCUGGUGUACUCGCUAAUAUGGUUGAUUUACAAUAGGUGUCAUCACUCGAAUAUAGAGAUUUUAAUUCUCAGUUAAUUUUCUGUAGUACUCGUUUGUCCCUUUUAUCUUUAGAAGUAUUGUUCUAAAGUAUUAUAAAAUAUUUUGGGCGACGGUUAGGCCUAAAAGGUUAACAGAGUUAAGCUUGCUAGAGUUAGAGUAGUUCUAAGAUUGAUGACUUUCGAGGAAGUAGGACAUCAUAUUGGUAUCAGAGCCAAUAACUAACAGAAAAUGUGAGAUAAGUCUCAACUGAGUCGGAGUCAUAUAGUGGAUAAAACACGGCUUCUCGGCUGAUAACCGUUGUUGGUAAAGUACAACUUUCCACAUGGUCGGUUAAGGCUAGCGAGAUGAGUCUCAUAUCGCUUCGUGCUUGUGAGUGUAAUGGAGCAUGACGACGACGUUCGGGAUUAAAGAGGGGAGGAAUGUGACACCCCUAUAACUGGAAAUAGUCUUAUUAUGAAAUAUAAUAAGGUUAAAUCUCCUAAUCCGACUAUAAUAUUUUAGGCGAUGGUUACACAUACUAUUUGUGCACCUAUAUAUACAUGUGUGUAAAUUUUACGCUCUUCAAAUCCUAGGGUUCAUAAAAUCGAAGUGGAUUGUAUUUAAAGAGGAGGGAAAAAAAAUUGAUAAGACUAGUAAGAAACUAAAGAACUUUUGGAUGAGUGGACUGUAAAAUUUAUAAAAAUGUAUGGACAGCAUUGUUCUUUAAGAAGAGUAUAGGCAGGAGAAACAAUCCAAAUUAUUUCCAUCUAUGAAACAAAAUUAUACACCAAAAGUAAUUAUUUCGCAGACCAAAGGUGUGCAAAUAAAAAAAAGCCGGUACAAACUUGUAAAACGCUAAAACAUGUAGAUUUAUUGUGCAAAAUGGCCGAAGCACUAUUAAAACAGAUAUUUUUAUACAUUACAUAUUCUGUGGUGUACAUUAUGGGACCGUUUGGUUGUAUGUAGUUAUAACUGCACUGCAGUUGUAAUUGCAUAUAAAUUCAAAUUUUGUAUUUGGUUUGAUGUAUUUAACUCCAACUGCUGUAGUAAGAACUGCAGGGGGAGGCCCAACUGCUGCAGUUUGAACUACGCCCAAAUUGGCCGCAGUUCCAACUACAGCAGUUGGAGAGAGUAAUUUUAAAUAAAAGGUAUGCUUACCUCCUUAAUAUUUUUAAACAAUUUUUUUUUUUUUUUUUUUACAUGGAGGUAAUCUCACCAUCAUAUAUAUAAAAUAAUAAAAUUUUAAAAAUUAUUUCUCAACUGCAUGCAACCAAACAAAUUAUUUAUACUUGUAGCGUUUUCUACUACAUCUAACCAAACAAGAUUCAUCUAGUUAUAACUACCCUUAUUUCCAACUGAAAUGUAAUCUUCAUAAUACACCUUGCAUUAUAUUACAUCUAACCAAACAGACCCCUAUAUGAAGGGGUGUCAAACAGGCUGGCGGGCGUCCCGGCGGCGCACAAUAGCGGCGCCUGGGCCGUGGCCCGGCACGGGAUAUGUAGCUAUGUGCCGGGCCGGCUCCCGACUCCUUUAUUAGUGGGCGUUGCUGGACCGACUUUUAGGCGUGGCCCGGCACGUACGGUCGCAAAGGCUCUGGACUCCGUUGCUGGUUUCGACAGUUCUGACGCGGCCCGACCAUGGCAGGCCCUGUGCGGCACGUGCUCCCCUAUCCGGCCAUUGGUCCCCGGCCGAUCCCAAGGCCUUGGGAUUUUUGGCCCAUUUCAGGAGAAGGGCCUUCCCCUUCUCCCUAGGUUGUGCCUAAUGUGGCAGACCUAUGGGCUCUUCCCACGGCUGCUCACAACUCUCGGACCUCCUCCUUUGGGAGCGCGCCGCAAUUCUUAUCUAUUUUUGGCGUUUACAAACUUACCUCCCAACAAUUAAACUUUUGAUUGUUGGGGAAGGCAAUUUGGUCCAAAUUUUUUAUAUUUUAAAAUUUAUUGUAUUUUUAAAAAUUAAUUUUAUAUUUUAAAAUUUAUUGUAUUUUUAAAAAUUAAAAAAAUUAAUGGGCGGUCCAGAGCCCGACCCGGCGGCACGGCCCGUACCCUUCGGGCCGGGGGCCGUGCUGGGCCGAAGUCGUGAGAAAUCUAGCACGGCAUGGCCUGGACCGUGCCGGGCUAGCGCUUGGCCCGUUUUGGCUCGAAAAAUGUGGAAUGCCUCCUUAAUUAAAUUAUACGUGUCUAUCUUUUUCUUUAAAAUGAAAAAAAAAAAACAUCAAGAGGUGUCAUAAAAAUCCAAUCCCAAAAAAAGUCAACUAUUGGCCACACAUGCUCGGAGGGGUCACAAAUUUAUAGUGCACAUAAAACUAUUGAUUCGGUCAAUCUCUGUCGAAGUUGAAGUUAAAAAAAAGGAGGAAAAACUAAGUAGUUUUUAAAAAAGAAUUCGGAGUGGACCCAUUCGCUCUAUGACUUGGGGAGUUAAUUAAUUGCUGGCUACUAGAUGUUGGAAAAUAUCAAUCACACCACAUUGGCUUGCAACUAUUUGUAUCCUCAGCAAGUAGAAACUAAUUCCCUACACCAAGUGCAUCGGAUCGAUUGGCUAUGCACCACACCAAUUCUGGUCACCCAUUCAUUUCAUAUUUUAAUAUUAACUUCUUUUUUUUUUCUCAAUUUUCAGUCAUCAAUUUCAAUCUUUUAGAAGUUUAUUUGCACAUGUCAUUUUAAUUUACUUAGGUCUAGUUACAAUGUUUGAAUAAGUUAUUUAAGAAAAUAACUAACUCGGACUGAAAUUUUUCUCAUGUGAGUAAAAGCAAAAUGUUUACGCUUUUUUUCUUUUUAAAAGAUUUUGAUAUUUAUUAUUUAGUUGGAUGAUGUAUUUUAUCUAUGAGACAUUAUUUUAUUUUGAAAAAAUAAUUUAAUAGUCAAAUAUGAUAUUUUUAUUUUUAGAUGUUUAAUUAUACUUUGGAAAAACUUCAAAAACCCCCCUUGUAGUUUCAAUUUUCUUCACUUUAGUACCCUGUGGUUUAAAAUGUAUCAAGUUAGUGCCCUGUGGUUUCACACUUUAUCACUUUAGUACCCUGUGGUUUAAAGUGUAUCAAGUUAGUACCCUGUGGUUUUGCACUUUAUCACUUUAGUACCCUGUGGUUUUAAUUUUGUAUCAAGUUAGUACCCUGUGGUUUUUUAAAUCACAGGGUACUAAAGUGAUAAAGUGUGAAACCACAUGGUACUAAAGUGAUAAAGUGCAAAACCACAGGGUACUAACUUGAUAUACUUUAAACCACAGGGUACUAAAGUGAUAAAGUGCAAAACCACAGGGUACUAACUUGAUACACUUUAAACCACAGGNGGAUACUAAAGUGAUAAAGUGAGAAACCACAGGGUACUAACUUGAUACACUUUAAACCACAUGGUACUAAAAUGAAAAAGUGUGAAACCACGGGGGGGUUUUUGAAGUUUUCCCUUAUACUUUUCAUCUACCAAAUACUAUAAGUUUUUUGAAUAAAUCAAAAACCUUAAAAACAUAUAGCGCAUGUUUGGUUGCAUGUAGUUGCAACUGCACUGCAGUUGUAAUUGCAUGUAAAUACAAAUUUCGUAUUUGGUUUGCAUUUAACUCCAACUGCUGUAGUAGAAAUUGCAGAAGGAGGCCCAACUGCAGCAGUUUGAACUACACCCAAAUUGGCCGCAGUUCCAACUGCAGUAGUUGGAGAAAGUAACUUUAAAUAAAAGGUAUGCUUACCUCCUGAAUAUUUUUUAAACAAAAAUUAUUUUCUUUUGUUACAUUGGAGGUAAUCUCACCAUCAUAUAUAUAAAAUAAUAAAAUUUUAAAAUUAUUUUUCAACUGUAUGCAACCAAACAAAUUAUUUAUACUUGCAGCGCUUUCUACUACAUCCAACCAAACAUGAUUCAUGUAGUUGUAGCUGCUGUAUUUACAACUACAUGCAUCUCUAACUAUACUGCAUUUAUAAUUACAUCUAACCAAAUGGCCCCAUAGUACUUUAAGAGAUGAUGAAUAUAACCCAAUGUUUAGCAAUUAGGUUUCGAAAUUGGGGCCUCAAAUAUCAACCACCAAACCUUUUGCCAGUUGCAUUAGGGACGAUCAAUUCAGAAUAUAAUAAAUUAGUCCGUAGAUAAAAAAUGUUAUAUACUUCUAUUAGAAAUAUGUAAAAAAAAAAUUUAAUAAUAAAAAAAACUAAACUUCUAACUUCCAAUUACAUAGAAGAAAAAAAAAAUUCACACAAAAUAAGCUAGUAUUGAGUUUUUAAUUUCAAUGGGUACAUCUAUUCUAUUCUUUCUACUACAUUAAAGGAGGGUUUGGGGGGACCAAAGGGGGGACACGUGUCACCCUNNNNNNNNNNNNNNNNNNNNNNNNNUAGAGGGGUAUUUCUUGAACUUAUUUUUUUAGGAACUCUAAUAAUUUGGACUUCUUUAACUCUAUUUUUACAGUGUUUUUCACUUUUUUAUUGAAUUUUAGAAUUCUUUUAAGUAUUUUUAUUUUUACUUUGUAAAAUUGCUUUGAAAAAAUAUAAUAUAACAUGCACUAAAGAAUAUAGUAUAAAAAUAGAUUUUUUUUUAUGCACUUAUAUUUGUUUUUAUCCUCAUGAUAGCUUCGUUAGGAAUUAACCUAAAAAAAAAUCAAUAAUAAAUUAGAAUAAAAUAUUUAUUUUAACUUUUGAAUUAUUUUUCUCUAAUUUAUUAUUGAUUUUUUUUUUAUGCACUUAUAUUUGUUUUUAUCCUCAUGAUCGCUUCGUUAGGAAUUAACCUAAAAAAAAUCAAUAAUAAAUUAGAGAAAAAUAAUUCAAAAGUUAAAAUAAAUAUUUUAUAAUUAAACUCAUAACAUAAAAUUAGUAGAGAAGAAAAAUCAAAAGGAAAAAAUAACAAUUGUCUUACUAAUUACUAAUUAACAACUGAAUUAAAAGUAGAGAAUAAAUACAUCACACCUCCUACAGUGGUUGCCAAAGCUCCGAGUGAACCCGAAAUAGGCCAUGGACUUGGAUCUACCAAAUGAUAAGAAUGCCUCUGAGAUUCAAUCAUAAACCACUUUGCCCCGGUUGUAUGUAAACCCCCCUUCACCCCAUCCCCAAAAGUGGUAAAGAAGGGGGCUCUUUUUGGUCUCAUUUUCUUUCUAUCUGACAGGACAAACAAAUAGGAAGGGAUGGUUCUUUCAUUGCAUUGAUAGAAGUGAUACUAUCAAAAGAUCUCUCUAUUACUUUUUUGAUUUGAGAAGAGAAUCGUUGGUUUGACCCACUUUCUACGUGGGAAAAUAAAUAGACCUUAAUUAAUCAUUGGUUUGCAUUUCCUCACUGACGCAUUUUUUGUUGGCGUCAGCUUCUUCUUCCAAUGCCCUCUUCAAUUCGUUGGCACGGAAUAAAUUUUUCUAAUGAUAUUCAAAGAUAGAUCAAAGAGGAUGUCCAUUGUAUCCUUGCACGUGCCUUCAACUAUGUCACAGAUAAGAGAGUCCUCGUUAAGGUUAAGGAAAGAACCAUUUUCCUCAGGUUAGGAGGUCAGAACAUUGGCUUUGAAUAGACCAUGAAGCUUUUUAUCUUAUCUGGUCUUCGUCUGAUGACGGGUCCGCCAGAUGACGGUUAGAGCGUUAAGCGCAGUCUCUCUCGAUAAGGGAGUUGUGUCCACGCCUAUUCCUCCAUUUCAUACUUCCUCGCCGCCGACAGACCCAUUGCUGGCUACAAUACAACAAAUACUACCACACCCGCUUCUUUUUUAUCGAAGAAGUGAAAGAGGGGGAUAAUUCUAUAUCAAAAUAGAUUUUCAUUUUUUUAUUUAGACCAACUGAAAGACUCAACGUUACGAGGAUAUAACGAGGGUUGUUGACCCAACAAAAGUCAGGGUUAUCUUCCUCGCUCGCCUACGGCUCGCUAACUGCCUUCUUUAUUCUUUGCUUCUCAACUUCUGGUUUCGAAACCUCCAGAACGAAAGAAAGAAAAAUUCCCUAGGAUAGGUAUCGAUUUGUGACUCAAAGAAGGGAUUUUCGGUUCGGUUGCAAUGCAAAGCCUUUUAAUAGAUCAAUUCCUUUCCGUGAUAGGUAAAACAUCUCCUCCUACGUCGAAAACUGAGGUAAGACAGCCGGUUGAUCGACAACAGGUACUCUACUACUUCACGAACCGAUUGACUUAUCUUUCUGGUCAGGUCGAGACACUGCUUCCGAAUCCAUUGAUUCCCAAUCCGUAGCUGCUGCGCCAUAGUUGAUCCCAGUCGCCUUGUCUUUGGCCCCCUCCUCCGACCGGCUGCAUUUCCUACUAUUUUUCCAAACAUCUCGAGUUGGAGGACGACAAAUCUUGACCGUCAUGAAAUACGAAUCUUUCUGAUCCUUUCCGUGUUCGGAAGCAUUAGCUGCUAGGCCCAGGAAGGCUUCUUCAGUCAGGUGGGGCAGAUCGAGUCAUCCCUAAAUUGUGAAAGUCCUCGGAUCGAAUGUAGGGCUUGAGUCAACUACUCUAUUUAAUGCCCAUCCCACUCCGGAAGUUAGGGGAUCGGAGCGAACAACACGUCGAAUCUCUGGUCCCGGGUCAUGAUAGGCAGGAGGAGAUCUUCUCUCUCUCUAGUUCCGAUUCGUUCGAUCGAAUGAAAAAAAAAAAAGUAUACACUAUAUUUCCUAAAAUAUUUAGGUCCUGAAAUUUAAAUUCUUGUAAUUUUUUUAUACAGCAAUAUUUUAACGUGAUUAAAUUGCCCAAAUCUAUUCAAGUUUAGUUUUAUUAAGCAAUUCUCUUCGCGUUUUUAAUAAUUUUAAUUAAUAUAAAUAUUAAUUAAUUAUUAAUAAAAUUAAUUAAUUUUUCAUAGGUUUAGAGAUUUAAAAUUGGUAAUUUGUGAAGUUUAAAUUUGAAAAUAUAUUAUAAGUUAAAUGAAAUUAGAAUUUAAAAUAUAAAUAUAAAAUUUCUUGAAAUUUAAACUUUUAAAAUGAAAGUAUCAAAUUUUAAAAUUUGAUAUCAAAAUUAAUUAUAUUAUAUUUAUAUAUAGUAUGAGGCUGGCAAUGAUGCGAGCGGGCUCGGCGUGUCGCUCGAUAUUUGGCUCGCCUCGGAAUGGCGUGAAAGGAGCGUCGACUCGACAUUAAAUGCAGCAAGCUGAACAAAAAAAAAAAGACGAAAUUAUUUCAAGCUGAGCUGAGUAUUAUCGCCGCUGAAUUAGGCUCGAAGCUCGAAUUAUUAUAUAUAUAUAUAUAUAUAUAAUAUAUAUACUAUAUAUAUAUAUAUAUUAAAAUAUUAAUAUAUUAUUUUAAUUAUUAUGACUGAGGUGGUAAUCUGGUUAGUAAAAUUAGACCGAAUAUGUUUUGGGUCCAUAAAAACAAACUCAAUAGAGCAAACAAAAUGGCAAAAUUUUACUAAAUUUUAUACUUUCUCCUUUUCUNNNNNNNNNNNNNNNNNNNNNNNNNUGUGUAUAUAUAUAAUUAAUUUUAUUAAAUAAUUUCUUCUACAAUUUUAUUUUCCUUCUAUUUAUUGAUUUUUUAAAAAUUAUUUUGAUAGAUUUAUCUUAAGUUCUUUUUAUAUAAAUUUUUAUAAAAUAAAUUAUUGUAUAAAUUUACUUUGCGCAUAUACUAAUUUUAAUGACUUUUAUUUAAAUAGAUUUAACUAUUAAAUCAUUUUUAUAUAAUUUUUAUUUAAUUAAUAAUUAGACUUAUAAAACUAUAUAAAAAUAUUAAAAAAAAUAAAUUUUAUUAUAAAAAUAUUUUUAUAUCCGCAGCAUCUAUAGCGACCCAGCCCACUAGCAACAAUAACUCGUUGGUCCCAAACAUCGGCUCAAAAUGCUUAAGCCCAGUUAUUAUUACUAGUAUUUAAGUCUCUUAUAUACCCAAUUACGUCCCUAUUCAUAUCCGAUGUGGGAUUAUUGGGGUGUCACAGACUCCCCCCAUUAAGGCCCUGACGUCCCCGUUAGUCCAAUCACACACUGCCCAAGAUCACCAGGCGAUGUGAGACGCGUCUCGCUAGCCUUGUCAUUCAGACCCUGACAUAGCCGGUCACCUUGUCAUACAGACUCCGACAUUGUCUAUCACCUUAUCUUUCAGACCCUGGCUCAGCCGAGACUAGCCACACAUUUCCGGCCGGUGAUUGGCUCUGAUACCAAAUGUAACAACCUAGCCCACUAACAACAAUAACUCAUUGGGCCCAAACACUGGCCCAAAAUGCUUAAGUCUAGUUAUUAUUACUAGUAUCUAAGUCUCUUAUAUACCCAAUCACAUCUCCAUUCAUAUUCGAUGUGGGAUUAUUGGGGUGUGAUAGACUCCCCCAGUUAAAGAAAGUUUCAUCCCCGAAAUUUGCUCACAUGCAAGGGUGAUCCGAUACUUAACGAACCAGAACAACGCAUGUGUGCGAUGCAAGAAGAGAUGCAUUUGUAACGAAAAGCUUGCUAUUUAUGACAACAAACAAAAUUUAUUGCCACGCCCCAGAUGUCUCGUUCCUCGGGCACGCCGACAAACCCGCCGUAUACAAAGGAGUUUCCCCUGUAUACGAAGCGAUUGCUGUACCUGUAAAUCAUACACUACUACGAACAGUAGUAGAGAGCUACUAGAAUAGCAAGAGCUAAACAAACUGAGCUUCAUAUACAUAGUUCAAAAAUCAAAAUACAGAGUUACUCGCACUGGCGAGUUAAGUACCAUGUACAUAAGCUCGAAAUAAAACAACUACCUGCAGUAGGGUGCCUCUAGCUCUGCUCGGCGGGUAGGGUUCUAACUCGCGACGCCCUUGCCUCGAUCCUGAUCCGCGGAAGACGCAGCAGCCGAAACCUGUGGCUCUGCAAAACAGGGGUAACAACAGGGCGUGAGAACUACUGUAAAAAUAAGUAGUCCUCAGUGGGUGCCGCCCAAAACAACAUCGGUCCACCUACAAAGUCUACAGAAGGGAGCAAUGGUAAAAGUAAAAUGCUAGAAUGAACUCUACAGCUACUUGUCACUACACCAUCCUUCUCUAAGCUAACCAACUGUAGGAAAUGUCAAAACUGACCAAAUCCAAUCGGGACUGUAAACAUACCCGUCUCGGGGACUGUGAAUACACCCGUCCUUGCCCAAUUGCGACUAUCCAGUUACCUCCACACUAACUGGUCCGUGGAGAGCAAGUCUAACCGGCAUGAGCGACACCAACGCAAAAGCACAAAGCCCGUCUCCGGAGUGGCACUCGUGGGCGCUACCCAACCGAGUAUGCAGCGUAUCUCUGUCGAGCUCAAACAGGCUCUGAAAAGCCAAAGUCAAGUAACCGACUCUAACUGGUCUAAUAACCAACCGUUCACGUGCCCUCGGCACAAUCUGUCGCCAAAAAGGCUAUCCGGGUCCACCGUCAACCUAACGGCACCCAACAGUUCGGAACAUCCCAAACGACCCUGUAAAAAUCCAAUCGGCAUACCAGCACGAGUGUAAAUGUAUGCUAAACUAUCUGGAGUACUCGUCUCGAGGAUACUGCGACAGUACAAUUUUAUAACGGCUCCUAGAACUAAAUCAGACAGUUUAAACAAGUAAUAGGUCCAAAUCGUAGGUUUUCUCCUAAUUCCAAUUCCAAGUCCAACAUGUAUAAACUACUCAAUUUAAUACCACAUGCUCCAAAUUCAGAUUUGCAAUCUAUNCCUGGCUCAGCCGAGACUCAUCUCACACUUCCGGCUGGUAAUUGGCUCUGAUACCAUCUGUGACGCCCCGACUUCCCAGGGGGUCACCCAUCCUAGGACUACUCCCGUCCUAGCACGCUUAACUCUCUUAACCUCUUGGGCCUUGCCACCACCCAAAAUGCUUAAGCCGGGUUAAGAGUUUAGUCCUAUUAUAUCUCAUAUAUAGGACUAUCUGGGGUCUCACAACAAGAGCCAACCCGAGAGCAGCUAAGCGGGUGCGCGCUGGUUGUACCGGUACAGCCACGCUGGUUGUAUCAGUACAGCAAGCAGAGAAAUCUGCUGUUUUGCAAAUUUUUUCGCUAUAAGCUGCCCUCGCGUCGCACGGAGUCCGUUUUGCGUCUAUUUGACGCCAACGCGACUCGGACUUAUCCCGACACUCUCCAGAGUUGCCGGCAAGCCUCCACAGCUGUACACCAGGGAUCUCACAUUUAUACCUGCGACGACAUCAGUCGAUUGAUUUUCCUCUUGACAUGUCAUCAUGUAGACACGCCCGUCCGUGGUCUGGUGUGCCCCCUCCUCCAGCCAAGAUGUAGAAGGGCGUCCAGGCGAAGAAUACGCCGUGUGGCCAACGCGGACACCUUCGGGCAGAUUGCACCAAUGGAGCAGGUCGUACCCACUGGGAAACCUUAAUUGUGGUUUCUCACCCCCCCAUUUAGUAUUAUAUAAUAUAACGACCUAGCCCACUAGCAACAAUAACUCGUUGGACCCAAACACCGGCCUAAAAUGCUUAAGCCUAGUUAUUAUUACUAGUAACUAAGUCUCUUAUAUAUCCAAUCACAUCUCCAUUCAUAUCCGAUGUGGGAUUAUUGGGAUGUGACAGCAUCGCGCGAGUAUUUCACUAGUGUAUAUAUAUAUAUAUAUAUAUAUAGUAGAGCUGGCAUGCUGUCAGUAGAAAACGAGCUCCGUUGUCCCCUAUUAGUUUUCGAUGAUUGAGCCUCGAAAUCAACGAACAGCAUAUUGAACAUGACCUAUGCUAUUUGAAGUAUCUAGAAAUCUUUUCGAUAUCAUUGACCUAAUGAUCGAAAGGUUUCAAAUUUUGUAAUUUUAAUGGUUGAUAUGAAGCGUUUUCUCAUUUAAUGGUAUAUAGAUAUCCAAAUUAUUUGAAUUUUGAUUAUAUUACAAGAUUCCUAUCAUCACUUUUUAAAGGAUAUUUAUUUUCAGCCGUUCAUUUUGUGUCCACUUGAUGGCCAAGAGAACAAUACCGAAAGAGUAUGAAAUUUGAUUUCUAAAUGCUUCAAAUGGUAUGGAUCAUAUUCAAUGGUGCCAAUCGUCGAUUUGAAGGCUUCAUCAUCGUCGAAACAAAUGUCUCUCUCUCUCUCUCUCUCUAUAUAUAUAUAUAUACUAGUUAAGGGGCCCGCGCGAUGCGGCGGAAAGAUAGUACAAUAGUAAAUUAUUAUAUUAAUAUUAUUAUUUUUUCUAUUAUGCAUUAAUAUUUUUAAAUAUUAUUUAUUUCAGUAUUGAAUAUUUAAAAAUUAAAGAAUAAAUUAAAGAAUGAAAUUAAAUUAUAUUUCUUUCUAAAAAUAUUUAAACCUAAUAAGUAAAAUGGAUAAAUCAAUUUAAAAUAAAACAAAAGCUCAUUACAGUAUUAAGAAAGAUAAAUAAUAAUUUUCUAUUAUAAUCAAGGUAGAAUUUACAAAAUAAAAAUAAAAGCAUUAAGUGGAGUGAAAGUACUAUUUUUGGUAUUCUUAGCAGUAACGUCUUCAUUGUACCCUCAUUAAUUUUUAUCGUUAAACAUGCAACUAAUAAAGUAUUUGAUUCCUAAAUUGUAAAUUAGUGAAGAAAUCAGUAGGUAAUAAUUAGAGGAAAAAAAAUAAGACUAAUCAAAAGGCAUUCAAAAUCAAAAUAAAUAUUUUUUACACUGUAAAAAGAUUCAACUACAAUCCACCAAACCAAGUUUCGCAGUAAUCCGAUCUUCCUACGUCGCACACGAGCCAAAACGCUGAAGGCCGCUGCUGAAAUUCUGCUGGAAUUGCAGUCCUCAAGGUGAAUUUGUAUAAUUUGGAGAGUUUGGAGGGGCUUAAUUGCAAAAUAUGAGCUUCUCUAUGAAAGAGGGUGAAAAACCAUCUCAGGGGGUCGUUCCCAUGCUUUUAUAGAGAGGUGGAAAGGUGCAAUAAGCUUCAAGAACAAAAUUACAAACCAGCUGUCCCUACAAAAGUCUGCACUUUCGGGCACCCGAAACCCACAACUGGGCGUCCGAAACUCCCAGGCAAUACAAAACUCCUUAUUUGGUUCCUCUGCCUACGGUAUGAUGUGCCCUUAACAUAGUUCUGCAGACCUCACCUACCACCUUACACGUGUCAAAGCAAACGUUAAUUACAAGGUGAACAUUCGGGCGCACAUCCGAGUGGCCGAAAAUAGGAUCUGAACUGGCUUCCAGUUUCAGUUUAGUUCAGCACUCAAGAUUUGGGCAACCCAAACCAUGUUCUGGGCGCCCGAAACUGGCAAAACUCCAGUUUUGCUUAUUUGAGUGCGUCAAGUCCGUUUCUGCAUCCAUUUCGUGCAAAAACGACUCCGAUUCAGUCCGAUACUCUCCAAAUGUGUCUAUCAGUCGCUAAAACUGUAGCUAAUCCGAUACCAAACCCCCAGAACACUACAUCCUGCCCCACUAUAAAAUGUUUCGUCCGCGAAACUUAAUGCAUACCUCAAUCCUGAGCAUCGAACAAGUAAGGGUAGGACUCCCGCAUCACCGUCUCCGGCUCCCAAGUCACCUCACGCUCCUCGUGAUUACUUCACUGCAUUUUUACAUAAGGGAUGACCCGGUUGCGCAAUUCUUUCGUUUCACGAUUCAGAAUUCACACCGGUCGCUCCUCAUAUCUUAAGUCCCUGUUAAGCUCCAGCGGAGUGAAGUCAAUCACAUGGGAGGGAUCGAACACGUAUCUCCUCAAUGUCGAGACGUGAAAAAGAUCAUGAAUACCGGCCAGUCGUGAGGGUAGAGCAAUCCUAUAGGCAACCUGUCCAACUCCCUCGAAUACCUCAAAAGGGGCUAAAAACCGUGGACUGAGCUUUCCAUGCACUCCGAAUCUGCGUAUUCCUCUGGACUGCGAGAUUUUCAGAAACAUAUGAUUUUCAACCUAGAACUCUAAGUCUCGUCUCCUAAUAUCUGCGUAGCUCCUCUGUCGACUCUGGGCUGUCAAAAGAUGUCGUCGAAUAGCUUUAACCUUUUCCAAAGCCUCUAUCAGAAUCUCAGGUCCCAGAGUCUUCCUUUCAUCCACAUCACUCCAAUGCAAAGGGGAUUGACACUUGCGUCCAUACAACCCUUCAAAUGGAGCCAUCUGAAUGCUCGUUUGAUAGCUGUUGUUGUACGCAAACUCAGCCAGUCUCAAAUGUCGAUGCCACCCUCCUCCACAGUCUAAGACACAUGUCCUCAGCAUGUCCUCCAGAGUCUGAAUGGUCAUCUCUGACUGACCAUCCGUCUGUGGGUGAAAUGCUGUGCUGAAAUGCAACUGUGUACCCAAGGCUGUUUGAAGACUCUUCCAAAAGUGCGAAACAAACCUCGGGUCUCUGUCUGAUACUAUCGAAGCAGGCACACCAUGCAACCUAACAAUCUCAUCCAGAUAUAACUGAGCGAGUCUCUCCCUGGACCAGGUGGUCUGUACCGAUAAAAAGUGAGCAGACUUAGUCAGUCUGUCCACUAUCACCCAAAUCGAUCAAAACUACUCUGAGCUCUAGGUAAUCUCACGACAAAGUCCAUCGUGAUCUGUUCCCAUUUCCACUCGGACACUGGCAGACUCUGAAGCUUGCCAGCAGGUACUAGAUGCUCUGCCUUUAUCUGUUGACAAGUCAAACAUCGAGCCACAAAUCUGCCAAUGUCUCUCUUCAUUCUAUUCCACCAGAAGUGUACCUUCAAGUCCUUAUACAUCUUAGUUCCAUCGGGGUGAACCGUAUAAGGUGAGUAGUGAGCCUCUCUCAAAAUCUCAUCUCGGAUCUCUGAAUCCAAAGGCACACACAGUUGGUCCCUGUACCGCAGUACUCCUGAACUGUCCACAACAAAACCCUCUGCUUGUUCCCUCUCCAUCUGCUCUCGAAUCCUCAACAAAUAAGAGUCACCACUUUGUUUCUCCCUAAUCCUGUCCAACAGAGUAAGCUGCAAGACCAUAGACAUCAGUCUCGCAGCAGCCCCAGGGGACACUACCUCGAGUCUCAACCGCUGCAACUCCUUAAGUAACGGCCUCUGCUGAGUAAUCAACAUGCUCAAACUCUGCACUGCCUUACCGCUCAACGCAUCUGCCACCACAUUCACCUUGCAGGGGUGAUACUGAAUACUAAUAUCAUAGUCCUUCAACAACUCCAACCACCGGCGUUGCCUCAGGUUCAACUCCUUUUGGGUGAACAGAUAUAUGAGACUUUUAUGAUCAGUAAAAACCUCGCAGUGCUCACCAUAUAAAUAAUAUCGCCACAACUUCAAAGCAAAAAUCACCGCAGCAAGCUCCAAGUCAUGCGUAGGGUAAUUCUUCUCGUAAUCCUUCAAUUGCCGGGAAGCAUAAGCAAUUACCCUACCAUACUGCAUUAGCACACAACUCAAAGCACUGUGCGAUGCAUCACUGUAAAUCCCAAAUCCUUCCCCCAUCACUGGAAGGGCAAGGAUAGGAGCCGACAUCAAUCUCUGUCUCAACUCAUCGAAGCUCCUCUGACAAUUCUCACUCCAGAUAAACUUACUUUUCUUUCGAGUCAAUCGAGUGGGGGGUGUGGAAAGCUUUGCAAAGCCUUCUACAAACCGACGGUAAUAUCCUGCCAAUCCAAAAAAACUUCUCACCUCAGUAACCGUCGUCGGUCUGGGCCAAUCCAGAAUAGCAUCAACUUUCUUCGGGUCCACUGCUACUCCAACUGCAGAAAUCACAUGGCCUAAGAAAGAAACUUUCCGAAGCCAGAACUCACACUUCUUCAACUUAGCAUACAACUUCUUUUCCCUCAGAAGUUGCAGCACAAUUCUUAAGUGCUCCUCAUGCUCAGCAUCACUCCGGGAGUAUAUCAAAAUAUCAUCAAUGAAGACUACUACAAAUCUAUCCAAAGACGGCUUGAACACUCUGAUCAAAUCCAGAAAUGCGGCAGGGGCAUUCGUCAAUCCAAAAUGCAUCACUGUAAACUCAUAAUGCCCGUACCAAGUCCAAAAAGCCAUUUUGGGAACAUCCUCGGUCCUCACCCUCAACUGGUGGUAACCUGACCGGAGAUCAAUAUUCGAAAAGACACAAGAUCCUUGCAGCUGAUCAAAUAGAUCAUCAAUGCGCGGUAAAGGAAACUUGUUCUUGAUGGUCACUUUAUUCAGCUCCCGAUAAUCUACACACAAUCUAAGUGAACCAUCCUUUUUCUUCACAAAUAACACCGACGCUCCCUAAGGCGAUACAUUGGAUCUCACAUACCCCUUAUCCAUCAGAUCCUGAAGUUGCGCCUUUAGCUCUCUCAGCUCUGCCGGUGCCAUCCAGUAAGGUGCCUUCGAGAUUGGUGCACUUUCAGGAACUAUAUCAAUCACAAACUCAAUCUCUCUAUCCGGCGGUAUAGUCGUCAACUCUGGAGGAAAAACAUCCGAAAACUCGCGGACUAUAGGGAUAUCCUCGAGUCCUGGGGCCGCCGUAAGCACCUCUACAACCGUCGCCAGAAAAGCAAUGCAUACUCUACUCAUCAGCUGUCGAGCCCUCGCUGACGAAAUCCAAGUGACAAACAACGUACUCCUGCAGCCUCUAAAAGUGAACUCCUCUUGGCCUGGCUCACGAAACGUCACCGUCAUCGCUCCACAAUCGAUCGUAGCAUAAUACCGUGCCAGCCAAUCCAUGCCAAGCACAACGUCAAAGUCCUACAACUGCCCUAAGAUGAACAGAUCUGUAGGCAUAAUCCAAGAGUCCAACUGCACCGGACACGACGAACAACACUCUACCACUGGCAAAAUAUUGGUCGGGAAUCUGCACCUCUCGUGCAUGCAACAAUGGCCCUAUCUCUAGACCAUCCAAUGAUGCAAAUGCUCGGCUAACAUAAGAAUGUGAUGCACCGAUAUCAAAUAAGGUACGAGCUCGAAUAUCAGAAAUUAAAAUGAUACCUGCCACCACCCGGUCGGCUGCUGUAGAGUCCUCCACCUGGGCUGCAUAAAUCCUGCCACUCAAAGCCUGCUGUCUUCGCUCGCCCUGCCGCGACACAGACGCUCUGUCAUCCUGACGGUAACUCGGUGGUGCUCCAUAACACUGCUGAGGUGCCUGCUGUGCUGACGCAAUCGAUGGUGUUGGUGAUGCUGCUCGGGGACACGUUGCUUUCAUAUGUCUAGACUGACCAUAAGUGAAACAACGGCCCUCCCUCUGCUCACACUGUCGGGGCCAGUGUGGUCCCCCACAAAUCACAUACUGUGGAGUCCCCCGAGAUUGUCCUUGCUGACGAGAUCCUCUGGAACGCUGACGCCCCGAAACCCACGACCUUGAGAGCGUGAUCGUGGAGGUCUCGGCGGAUGCCUGCUGCUCGACUGUCCUCCGUUAUCUGGAACCGGGUGCUUCCUAUCCUGACUCUGCCCCUAUACCUGAGUCCGCUCACGGAUCGAUACAUCACCUCUCUCCACCUAUAGAGCCUACUCAAUAGACGCAUCCAAGGUCCUCAACCUCUGCGCCCGUACUAACCGAAAGAUCUCUGGCCUCAAGCCUCCCUCAUACAAAUAUACCCGAUGAGCCUCAUCUCUGGCUACAAAUGGAACACAGUUCAGGAGCAGAGUAAACUCGUGGGUGUACUCUUGAACUGAUUGCUCUCCCUGCUGAAGCUUCUUCAAGUCCUCCUCGAGCUUUUGCUUCACGUUGUUUGGGAAAUACGCCCCGUACAGUAUUUCACAGAACUCAUCCCACUUCAUCUGCAAUGCUACCAGCCUUCGGUCUCGCCUCAUCCUCCUCCACAAAGAAUGCGCAUCGUGAGCCAAGCAGUAUACUCCUAAGUGUACCUGCUCCCUCUUUGGUAUAAACAGGUCCUCAAACGGUUUCUCCAUUGCGCUCACCAAGCCCUCUACAACCCAGGGCUCUAUGCAGCUACAGUCAAAGAUCGGCGGAUCAAAACGGCAGAAACGAGCAAGCCUCUCAGUCAUCCGCUCCUGCUCAGCCUCAGACAUCUGCGAUGCAUCUCCAGAAGAUGUGACUGGCGCCGUGGGAACUGUCACUGGUGGGGGUCCCGCUGUGGCUGGUGCAGCUUCAAAAGAAGGUGGAGUUUGUAUUGUAGCGUAAGUUAAUCUUUCAGUGAAUCGGUAGGAGUGAGAUUUUCAAUGGAAUGGAAUAAAUAUUAAUCCUUUCUGAUAUAGAAUCUACUGAAAAGGUUAGAUACAUAGUAUAUAUAGUCUUUUCCAAUGCGAUAUAGUCGAGGGUGGAGUUGACUGCUCUGGUACUCUCGGUGCUGUACUCUGCGACGGAGCUAAGGUCUCGCACAUACUCUGCAAUAAUGCCCCCUGCUGCCCGUUACCUCAGUCAGGGCAGCCAACUGCUCUCUCAGAUCCGGAGGUGCACUCGGCCUUGCCUGCUCAGGCAUCUCAGGUGGUGCGGCACGAUCCCGGGUUGGCGUUCGACCUCGGCGUCGGUACAUAGCUGUAUGAAAAAGACAUAAGGGUCAGAUACAAAACACAAACACUCUCGACCUAAUCAAAGCGAAAGUCUAGAAGACAGCCCCUGUUUCUCCUCAAAAUUAUGCCGUCUGCAGUCGGCAUAAUUUUUCUUGGUCGAAACAGACACUCCUUCAAUCACUCACUCCACUCUAGGAGGAGUAAAAACUAAUCAACUGCUGAUUUUCGCGAUAAAUCAGGCCUCUCGCGUCUUGCCUUCCUAAGGUUUGCCAAACUUAGGGUUCCUAGGUCCCAAUGACCUAAUGCUAAGCUCUGAUACCAAUUUAAUAUGUCAUGCCCCGGAUUACUCAUUUUUUCGGGCACGCAACAAAUCCGCCGUAUACAAAGAAAUUUUUUCUGUAUACGAAGCGAUAGCUGUACCUGUACCUGUAAACAUACAAUACUACAACCAGUAGUAUAGAGCUGCUAAACAGAAAAACAUAUAUAAAUAACAUCAGUUCAACAUGCAUACAUAGUCUCCAAAUACAAAAACACUCGCACCAGCAAGGAUCUAAUAACAGUCUGUAUAAUAACCCAAAAAUCAACACCACCUGAAGCUGGUAACGAUCCAUAUCAGCAACAGCAGCAGCCGAAGAAGAAGGCUCUGUAAAAAGGGUCAACAACUGGGUGUGAGAACUACUGCAAAAAGAAGUAGUUCUCAGUGGGUACUGCUACCGACCUCAACGGCUCACCCACUAAGUCUACAGAAGUAUGCUCAAGGAUAGUAAAGAAAGCUAGAACAAUUCUACAGCUAUAUGCCACUAUACUAUCACGAUCCAACUCUAAUUAUCUGUAGGUAAUGUAAUCUCUGACCCAAUCUCACUAGGGACUGUAAACACACCCGUCCCGCCUGCCAAAACUACACUAACUAUCACCACGUUGGGUCGUCAAUGGAGAGCAAGUCCAACCAGGACAACCGACAACAACGCAAAAUCACAAAGUCCGACUCCUGAGUGGCAUUCGUGGGCGCUACCCAACCAAGCAUGCAAGCGUAUCUCUACCGAGCUCAAUCAGGCUCUCACAGACUAUAAUCAAAAUAGAAGGGUCUAACAACCAUAAUAAACAUGUCCUCGGCACAAUCUGAUGCAAAAACUGCAAUCUAGGUCCACCGUCAACCACAACGGCACCCGACAGUCCGGAACAGUCUAUACACUAUUGUAAAAAUAAGCUCGGUAUCCCAGUAUGAGCGUAAAUUCAUUCUACACUAUUCUGGACAUCCACCGUCUACAAACUGCGGCGAUACAAACAAGCUACAGCUCCUAAAGCUAAAUCUGGUAGUUUUCAGAACAUGACAGUGUAGAACCUAUGAUUUUCUCCUAAGUCAAUUUUAAGUCCAACAUUUAUAAUAAAACUAACAUUUUAAGUUCAAAUUCAGAUUUUAUUUAAGAAUAAUGCACAUCUAUGAAUCGAGCUACUAACAUGAUAUAUGAAGCUAAAAACACAUACUGAGAACAUCUAGGCUUAGAAGGAAAUCCGAAGAUUUCGAUAGCUUAACAUCAACUCACCUCUAGCGAGAGCCCGACAAGGCUAGAAAUCGCUGGAAAGCCCUGCCAAGAUCAGCCUCGAAUCAGCAACAACCUUCUCUAAGGAUCUAACACAAGAACACCAAAGUUUCUAUCAAUACACCCAAAUUCAGCACUUAAGCUUAAUUCCUUCAAAACCUUAAUGUCAAACUCACAUUCCAAUCCACAAUUCAGGUGAAGAAAAAUCUCAAAACCAGUGGAGAAUGAUGGAGUAACACUCUCUGGUCGAAAAUCGAGCUUCCUCCAAGAUUUGAUCCAAAAAAACCAUAAAAAUUCCAAAAUCAGCCCAAGUACACCAGCAGCUCAGAAAAAUAUCAAAUCGAUCAAACAAACCUCAAUCAAUUGCUGUUAAAUUAGCUCCACGAAAUCUCCAAGAAGUCUACAAUCCACCAAACUAAGUUUCGCAGCAAUCCGAUAUUCCUACGUCGCACACCAGCCAAAACGCCAAACACGAGCCAAAACGCCGUAGGCCGCUGCUGAAAUUCUGCUGGAAUUGCAGUCCUCAAGGUGAAUUUGUAUAAUUUGGAGAGUUUGGAGGGGCUUAAUUGCAAAAUAUGAGAUUCUCUAUAAAAGAGGGUGAAAAACCAUCUUAAGGGGUCGUUCCCAUGCUUUUAUAGAGAGGUGGACGGAUGCAAUAAGCCUCAAGAACAAAAUUACAAACAUGCUGUCCCUGCAGAGGUCUGCACUUUCGGGUGCCCGAAACCCACAAUUGGGCAUCCGGAACUCCCAGGCAAUACAAAACUCCUUUGGUUCCUCUGCUUGCGGUAUGAUGUGCCCUUAACAUGGUCCGGCGGACCUCACCUAUCACCUUACACGUGUCAAAGCAAACGUUAAUUAUAAGGUGAACAUUCAGGUCCAUAUCCGGGCGCCUGAAAGUAGGAUACGAACUGGCUUCCAGUUCCAGUUCAGUUCAGCACUCAAGAUCUGGCGACCCAAACUAUAUUCUGGGCGCCCGAAACUGGUAAAACUCCAGUUUUGCUUAUUUGAGUGCGCCAAGUUCGUUUCUUCAUCCAUUUUGUGUAAAAACGACUUCGAUUUAGUUCAACACUUUCCAGAUGUGUCAACCAGUCGCUAAAACUGUAGCCAAUCUGAUACCAAACCCUCGGGACACUACAGAAUUUAUAAAAAAAAUAAAAUGAAAAAAUUAAUUGGAGUGAAAGUACUAUCUUUGGUAUUUUUGACGGUAACGUUUUCAUUGUGUCAUCAUUAACUUUCAUCGUUACACAUACAACUAAUAAAGUAUUUGGUUCCUAAAUUUUAAAUUAGUGAAGAAAUCAGUAGAUAAUUAUCAGAAACACAAAAAAUAAGACUAAUCAAAAGACAUUAGAAAUUAAAAUAAAUAUUUUUUACACUGUAAAAAAAAUUCAACUAUCAAAUAUUAUAUUAUUAUAUAAAUUAAUUUAUAAAAAAAUUAUUUGGGGACUAAAGUAAAAAAAUACAAAGUUAAGAGAUUAUGAACCAAAAUAAAAAAGAGUGAAAAAAUCGGGACUCAAUUAUAAUUAAUUUUUUAAAAAAAUAUGUGAAUCUCACUGAAUAAAUUAGUGUACGAGAGAGAGAGAGAGAGAGAGAGAGAGAGAGAGAGAGAGAGAGAGAGAGAGAAAGAUUGAUUGGGAGAGAAUAAAUAAAAAAAAAGGUGGCCCCACAGAGCCCCGGGGAGGUCUUCUAAAGGCUGCCAAUUCAUAUAUUUAAAAUAAAUUAUAAAUAAAUAUAUUUAAAGAAAAAAACAUAAAAGACUUUUCUCUAACCUGUGAUGGGGUAGACUGUUCGAAGAGGGGGUGUACCGGGGGGCUUUUUUCGAAAAUAACUCUGUAAAAUUUCGUAUUUGUCAAACUAAUCCUGUGAAACUUUUAUUUGUGAAACUAACCCUACUCUCGUCACGUGGGGUCAGGGGUUUCUAAAAAAGACGGUGAAUGAUUCAUCGUCUUUGUAAUUUUUGUUGUAAAAGCGGUGAAUGGUUUACCGCUUUUAGAAGGUUGGUAAACCAUUCACCGUCUUUAGUGCAAAAUUUUUCUUUUCGUCCUUUUCCCUUUCCGCCCUCUCAAGUCCGUCGUUUUUGUGCCCUCGAGAAGACGGGAAACGAUUCACCGUCUUAUCAAGGACACUAUAUUAUGGACUUGAAAAGAUUUGCACAGAGUAGGAAUUUGUACUAAAGACGGUGAAUGGUUCACCGCCUUAUGAAGACGGUGAACCAUUCACCGCCUUCACAACAAAUAUCAAAGACGGUGAACGAUUCAUCGUUUUUUUAAGGAAUUCCUGACGUUGUGCCCACGUGGCGAGAGGAUGGUUAGUUUUACAAAUAAAAAUUUCACAGAAUUAAUUUGGCAAAUACGAAAUUUUACAGGAUUAUUUUCGACAAAAGUCCUGUACCGGGCUGGCGCAGGCAAGGGCAAAUCCGAAGGAGGCCCUCAGCCCACAUCCUCCCUCCUCCCUCCUCCCUCCUCCCCUCCGUGCUUUUGAAUAUUGACUCUCUCCACAUCACCUCUAAAUUAAUUAACUUUGUUGUGUCACCACCCUCCAACCCCACCACCACCACCACCACCACCACCUUCUUCUUCUUCGUACGUACGUACGUACGUAUACGUACGCUGCAGCAAAAAUGAUGGCCUCUACACAUUCCGCAUGCGAGUCGUCCCUUUACAGGAACUGCUACGACUUUUUAUCGAUAUUUUGGAUAGCAUGUUACCAGAACUAGCUAGCUAGUACUAAGUUUCCUCCGUUCUAAAAUGCUACAGAUUCAAUUCUAAUAUUUGUCCUCGACAGAGAUAGAAAAGACUUUUUUGAUCUGAAAAAAUAUAAUAAUAAUUCUCACAUCUAUCGUAUAUGUCGUAUGAUUCACUUGAUAUUAAUCAUGAGCCUCACAUAAUUUUUUUGGGUCAUAAACGUGCCUGAAUGUUAUCUAUUUUAUUAGUUAUCAAAUGUCCAAAACAAGUAUCAUAUUCGUGUUGGAGAAAAAUUCAAAAUCCUCUAUUUUUACUUAUUAAUCCUAAUUUAUUUUUAUUGUUAACGUCCUUUAAAACGGACGUCCGCUCCGGGCGCGGACGUUGCGCACGUACGCGCUCCAUGCGCUGACUUCUAGUCGCGCAUGAAUUCUAGGGCGGUUUUGAAAUUUUCUAAUUANAAAUCAUAUCCUUGGCUUUAUUUGCUUUUUCCUGUAUUAGAAUUUGCUGUUUUCCUUUUGUGAUUUUUGUUGCAAAAUAUUUUCUUUUUGGAUCUAUCUUGUCUUCUCCUCAUCAUAUUAUGUAGUUAUAUCCAAGAACGAAGCCAGGAUUUAAGAUUUGGGGUGGCCAAAGUUUAUAUUUAAUAAAAAAUUUCAACCUCGGAAAGAAAAAUAAUUAGGCAGAUUCACUGAUCACUUAUUAUUGUUAGCAACAGUAGUAAUAAUAUGCGCAAAAAAAAAAAAAAAAAAAAAAACUGUAAGAACUCAAGAAAAAGAGUCAAAGAAUUUGAAUAGAACAUAAAUUUUAUUUUUUCAAAAAUAAUUUAGCCCUUAAAAUUAAAGUUUAUAAUAUUUUAAUUUUUAUUAUAAAUAGUUUUUAUAUAAUUUUUAAAAAUUCAGGAGGACCAUGGUCACUAUGGCCCCCUUAAUGGUUUCGUCCUUGGUUAUACCACUUGACUCUUUGUAAUAAGUUAAUAACAUCUCAUUACAUUGGUCUAUUUUGUGCUUAAUUUCUUUUUUAAAAAAAACUAUUUUUCUUAGUUCAACAAAUUACAUACAUAAUAAAAUUAUAGUUUUAAAAAAUUUUAAUUUCCUAUCUAAUGUAAUAGCAAAUUAUAUCAAUAAAAAUAAAAAUAAAAUUAUAGAAUAAUUAAGUAUAACAUUUUAUAUCACAGCAUUAGAAAGCGAAAAUAAGCUAAACCACAUACGGUAAAAUUGAAUCUUAUUUUUAUUUUAUUUUUACCUAUUGUUCUGCCCUCCUAACAAAAAAAAAAUGAUGAGCAUAAGUAUAAAACGGUUCAGAACCUAACCUUCAAAGCAAAGGCUUUGGAAUACGAUAAAAAAUAAAUUAUUAAAAUAAUCUAAAUUAGCGAUGAUUGGUUCGAAGUUGGAAUCGGUAUCGGAAUCGGAAUGAAAAUAAGCUAAAAAUAGAAUCAAAAUGAUUCAUUAUCUCAUUCUGUUUAGUUCGCCACGUAAAUCGAAAUCGAAGUAAAUCAUUUCUAUUGUUGGUGUUUGGUUCAUAUAGAUAUCAGAAACGUAAUUAAAUUAAAUUUUAAGUAAAAUUUGAAUAAGAUUUAAGAUUUAAAUUUAAAUUCAAAUUCAAAUUUAUAAAUUAGAUUCGAAAUGUUUUAUUGAAUUUUAAUUUUUAAUUUAAGUUCAAAUUAAAAUUAAAAUUUAUAAAUAUAAUUUUUUAAUUUAAACUUAUGUUUUAAAUACAAAAUAAAUUUUAAAAAAUUAAAUUUAAUUCGAACAAAUUCAUUCCGUCCGAAUUCAAUAUCCAAUCCGGCCUCCUAGAGCUGAUUGGAAAAGGAGCAAUUGGGGGAAUUUCCAUUCACCCGAUGAUGCAAACCGAGAGGUUGCCAAAAUUGAAUUUUCAAGUUUACUUUUGUUUAAAGGUAAAACUAGGUUCAAUUUAUCAAUUUCGAUGAACUUUAAGCAAGGAAGCAAAAAUUUCAGCAAGACAAAUUAGAAUCGAAUCGAAGUAAUACUAAGAUGAUGAUAAACCUUCAAUAUAUGAGAUAAUAACAACCAACUGAAAAUACAUAUACUAGUUCCAAAAGGUAAAUUCGGCUUUAUCGGACUUAAAGCUUUAGGUUUGGUUGUUUGGCAAAUAUGGUUGGUAAUGGUGGAAGGCUAGAUUAAAAGGGGAUAAUAGGAUAUCAAGAGAUAGGAGAUACAAAAAGUGCACCGUUCACACGAUUGCGGGGGAUCCACGAUCGACGAGGAGGGCGGUACACCACGGGUAGAACUUCGGCAACGGGGAAGAAGACGAUGAGGCAGUGACUCGGAAGAAGAGGAGGGGUAGAAGUAGAAGCCGAUCUUGCCACGAGGAAGAAGUGACAACAAUCAAGUUGAGGAAGAAGACGAUCUCGGCGCGAGGAAGAAGCGUCGAUGAUCACACCGGAAAGUAGAACACCAAGGAUAAAGAGUGAGAGUAGAAUUUUCUAUUCAUCAAAUAUAUCCCCUUAAGGUCUCAAGAACCAUGUAUUUAUAGUGUUGAGAGUCCUAUGAUAAUAAAUUAUUGCCUUUUCGUUUUCAACACAACACGGUCACCCAAGAGUCAUGCAUUGAAAACGAAGCAAAUUUGGGAAUUUCAAAGGUCUUUGUUUUUGGGGAAUUCCAAAGGUCUUCUUGGGAUUGUUUUUUUUUGUUUAUGGGAGAAAAGGGUUUGGGUUAGCCAAAUCAACUAAAACCAAAUGGUUUAAGUCCGAAUCAAACACGAACCUACAAAAUAAAAGAAAAUUGCAUUUGAAAAUAAAAAGAGAUUUAUUUGCUGCAUCACCCGACAAUCGAAAUUGGAUUGGAAAUACCGCAUACCAAACACGGACAAACGAAUUUAUCCAUUUCGAUUCUAGGUGAAAAAAGAAACGAACCAAACACUCCGUUAGUAUAUUCUAAAGUAGAAAAAAAAAUAGAAUUUAUCAUUUAUACUGCUGAUGUGACGUGCUCAACUAAUUAAAUUAUUUUUCGUUAAUUUAUCCAACCAACCAUGAUUAUUAAAAAUUUUUUUUAUUAUAUUUUUAUCGCAAAAUAAAAAAAAAAAUAACUUACUGAUUAUUGAUAAUGUGGUAUAAAUUUUAUACAGUAAACUUCCUCCAAAAGUAGGCCAGACCCAAAAAUCCAUACAAUGUUGGAUAUGAACACUCCUUCAGAACUCUUUGUUAUCAUUAUUUUUUGUUUAAAAGAAAAAACUUUAAUUAGUGUGGCUUAGUACAAGUUUAGUUUGUUAUUCUCUAUUCAAUAUAUUUUACCUUGUAAUCCAAUAGCUUAAUAUUUACAUCGUCGUAAGGUCCUACAGUCAACUAGGGUAUUGAAAAGUUAAAAUUUAGUCCUACACAAGUAAAAUAAUAUAUUUAACAAAUUACAAAAUACUUUUGUAAAAAAUAUAAGCUAAUAAAAUAAAACAGUUUGUCAUCUGUGGUUCGCUAUAUUUUUAUUAACCUGUAAUUUAUAAAUUUUAGAUAUAAAUAAAAAAUCACAUGAUAGUAAAGUGAAACUGACUAAAUUAUAAAUUAAUAAAGUGAAAAGAUAAUAAACUGUAAUUUGCAAAUUAAAAUUUCCUUUUUCUCCGCAUAAUUAUAUUUUAUAGGUGUAAAUAUUGUACCAAAACUUCUAACAUGUCAAGAUCUAGAAAUUUUUAAAUUCUUGAAUUAUGAGGAAUUAUGGAUGUAUGAGAUAUAUAUAAUAUAAUAUAGUGUACAUGUUUUUAUUUUUAUUUCCUAUUAUUAUUAUUAUUAUUAUUAUUAUUUUUUUUUUUUUUNAUUUAACCAUAGUUAAUUAAUGAGGUGAAUUGAUCUUUUUACUCAUCUUCAAUUAACAGUUGGAACUUUUCAAACGACAUAUUUGUAAUAGCAAACACGUCAUUUCACUUAUAAAAUAAACAGUUCUUUAACGGUAACAAACUAGAUAGAUAUAUUUGAAAAUAUUAGAAUUUUUGUAGAGACAAUAUAUGAAAGUUGAACUUUGUAGAGAUAUAUAUUUACACUUCGCUAUGGUUACAGGAACUUGUAUGAAAUUAACCUUUAAAUAUAUCUGUAAAAAUAAACGACGCAUUAAAAUUUUAAAGUCAAAAAUAUUAUUGGCUGAUUAAAAUUAAAUAAAUUAAUUAAAAAAAUUCAAUAGUAUAAUUAAAAUUUUAAAAAAUUAAAUAUUUAACUCAAAAUAGUUUAUAGUUUAUAUUUCGGACAAGCUCAAUACAUUUUUUACCAAGUUUAAAACAAACAUUUAUAAUCUAGCAUGUGAUUCACCCUUUGUUGUUGGAUUAUUAUAGAGAAGACUUGAGUUUUUUUAUGAAUGUUUGUUUUAAACUUGGUAAAAAAUGUAUUGAGCUUGUCCGAAAUAUAAACUAUAAACUAUUUUGAGUUAAAUAUUUAAUUUUUUAAAAUUUUAAUUAUACUAUUGAAUUUUUUUAAUUAAUUUAUUUAAUUUUAAUCAGCCAAUAAUAUUUUUGACUUUAAAAUUUUAAUGCGUCGUUUAUUUUUACAGAUAUAUUUAAAGGUUAAUUUCAUACAAGUUCCUGUAACCAUAGCGAAGUGUAAAUAUAUAUCUCUACAAAGUUCAACUUUCAUAUAUUGUCCCUAUAAAAAUCCUAAUAUUUUCAAAUAUAUCUCUCUAGUUUGUUACCGUUAAAGAACUGUUUAUUUUAUAAGUGAAAUGACGUGUUUGCUAUUACAAGUAUGUCGUUUGAAAAGUUCCAACUGUUAAUUGAAGAUGAGUAAAAAGAUCAAUUCACCUCAUUAAUUAACUAUGGUUAAAUAUUUUACCUAUAUUUAACUAAUUUUUUCUAACGGAUCCUAACGGCAGGUUUAUAUUUGAAAAUAUCAUGACUUUUGUGAGGACAACAUAUGAAAUUUUUAACUUUGUAGGGAUAUAUUAUUGCCAUUCACUAUGUUUGUAGGGAUCGAUAUAAAAUUAACCCUAUAUUUAAUAUACUUCAUGCUAUUUUUGCUAUUAUAAAUUUUUAAAGUAAUGAGUCUAAAUUUUCAAGUCAAAGCACUUAAUCAAACAAUUGAAAGAUUUAGUUAAAUUAAAAUUUUAAAAUGUUGGAUAGUGGACUCAAAAUUGUCCUUAGUUGAAAUAAUUUCUGUCUGUUUUUACCUCUGGAUUAUGUAGAAAUUUAAUUUUUCAAAAUCCGAUUUGAACUUGUCCCUAGUUUGAAUAAUUCUACUUACCAUUAAGAGCAAGAUCGGUACUUUCAAUUUAAAAUUUAAAUUAUUAUUUUUUAUAUAAUUUUUAUUUUAAGCUGUUCCUUUUGAGUCUUCCCGUUCAGUAGGCAAAUAAAACAAAAAAAACUAUGAAAUUUUAUUUCUAGAUAGCUUUAAUACAGAUCAUACCUAAUGAAAUAAAUGGCAGAGCCUAGUUCUCUCUCUAUAUUUUUCAGUAGAGAAAACUAUAAAAUUUUAUUUCUAGAUAGCUUUAAUACACUAGGCUCUGUUUCAUUAUGGAAAAUAACUUAUAAAUACAAAGACUCUUGUGCUUUUGAAAAUACAGAGCCUAGUUCUCUCUCUAUAUUUUUUCACCGUAUAUAAUAAUACAUUGCUAAACUAAUAUUCAGAGUUUCUUGGGGACACAGCAAUGGACAUGAUUUAGAUAAUCGAUCUUAUCUGAGGGAGGUCCCCCUUUCGAAAUUGUCAACGCGAGGAGAGAAAUUGUGAUUAUAACGAUCCGACCCAUUAGUAAUAAUAACUUAUUAGGUUCAAACUAUCGGUUUAAAAUAUUUAAAUUCAGUUAUUAUUAUUAGCUUGUGAGAUCUCAUACAUUCUAAGUAUAAUUAUUUUUUAAUCCGAUAUAAAAUUAUUGGAGCAUAACAGAAAUACAUCAAACUCGGCCGAGAGUAUAAAGUUUGGGUGUGAUUUAAUUAAGUGCAAGCCCAGUCAGACGUGACGAACGGGGACAGAGAUGCGGACGGAUUAGCUUCCUCUCUUGCUUGCUUCUUACAUAAGCGAGUUUUUAUUUAUUUAACUCGAGAUAAAAUUAUCCGGAAUUUCUUUGAAAGGAUUUCUUUUUUGUUUCUUAAUUUUCACAAGCAUUCAGAAAAUAUUUGUUUCAUCGAAACUGAACUUUGGGUUGAAAUAGACUUCAGUGAAAACUAUUUUUUCCAUGCUAUUUAUUUCAUAACUAUAAAAGUAAAGUUUUUUCAGUUCUAAUAUUUGUUUAGCAAAAAGUGAAUGAUGUAAAAUUAUAAUUUAUGUAUAAAUAAUAAAUAACUUAAUAAAUAAUAAAUUUUUAUAUAAUAAAUGAAAAUAAUAUACUUAUAUUUCUAUAUAAUUAAAAAUUUUAAUAUAAAAUAACUAAAUUAUUUUUUUUAUAUAUAACUUAUAAUAAAACAACAAUAAAAUUAGAAAAUAAAAAAAUAUAAAUACUUAACUAAUCAAUUUUCAUUAUAUUUAUACUAAAUCUUAACUAAUCAAAUUUUAUCACAAACUAAAUUAAAAAAAGUAAUUAGUGACAUAAUUAAAUAUAUUUAACUAUAACUAGCAUUAUUCAUUAUAUUAUUUUAUUAUUUUUUUUUCUUCAUUUUUUUUUACCGUAAUUGACUUCAAUUCGGGAUGGGCCGAAGUCAAUUAUGCUAUUUCAGGUAACUCGAAUUUCAGCGUAUCUUUAUUACAGUGAAACAAACAGUAAAAGUGAUCAGCUGUAAAAGAUUUCUCCCCUCUUCAUUUUCACACAAAUAAACAGAAAGGUUGUAACUACUUUUCUCCUGUCAAAAGGGCCUUGUUGUUUUACCAAAAAUAGACUAGGGACGAAUUUAUUUACAAGAAUAAAUACGUGAUUUUAUUGUUCGGUUUAGCUACUGCGGCUUUAUUUUUCUAAAAUGCUGUGAUUAACUUCAUCCUGAAUGGUGGCGAAGUCAAUUAUGAAAAUAAUAAUAAUAAAUUUACUGCUAUAUUUACAUAUUAGUGUGAAUUUUUUAAAUAUAACAAGUGAAAAAUGUGAUAGCUAUAUUGUUAAAGUUAUUGAUUUUUUAUCAAACAAACAAAUAGUAAUUAAAAUAAUGGGUUAUUUGCAUACACGUCUCUGCAAACAUAGUGAAUUACAGAUAUAUCCCUGCAAAACGAAAAUUUCAUAAAUUGUCCCUACAAAAGUCUUAAGUUAUGCAGAUAUGUCCCUACCGUUAAGGUCUGUUAAAAAAAUUUCGUUAACCACAGUUAAAAACUUAACCAUGGUUAAUUAAUAAGGUAAAUUGACGGUUUUACCCUUGUUCCUCUUCCUCCUCUUCCUCUUCAAUUUUCUUCCUCGCCGGCGGUGGCGGCGACGGCGACGGCGGCAUCGGCGGCGGCCCUCUCCCUCUUCCUCUUCCUCUUCUCUCUUCCUCUUCCCCGUUCUUCUUCCUCUCAUUCUUCCUCUUCCCUUUUCUUCGUCGCUGGCGAGGGAGAAGAUGCGGCGGCGACGGCGGCGACGAACCCUCUCCCUCUUCCCUCUUCCUCUUUGCCUUUUUUCUUCCUCUCCCUCUUCCUCUUCCUCUUCUUCGUCGCCGGCGAGAGAGGAGAUGCGGCGGCGGCGGCGGUGAAAGCAAACCCUCUCGCUCUUCCUCUUCCUCUUCCCUCUUCUUCUCCCUCUUCCUCUCCUUUCUUCCUCUCCUUCUUUCUCUUCCAUCUUCUUCGUUGCCGGCGAACCCAACCCCGCGCCGCCGCUGCUGCCGUCCACUCCGGUGGCCCAAAGAGGGAGAGAAAGGAAAGGGAAAGAGAAAUAUUUUGGAGGGAUAUAUUUGUGAGGGUAAAAAAGUCAUUUCACAAGAAAACUGUUAAAAAAUUAACAGUUUCCUAACAGAUUUCAACCAGAGGGACAUAUCUGCAUAAUUUAGGACUUUUGCAGGGACAACUUAUGGAAUUUUCGUUUUGCAGGGAUAUUUCUGCAAUUCACUAUGUUUGCAGGGAUGUGUAUGCAAAUAACCCUAAAAUAAUAUUUAGGCCCUAUUAGGAUGAGCAGUAAAUAAAUUCCAUGGAGUUUAAAUACCGUAGUUUUGGUCCAAAUAAAAUGGAGUAUCUUGUAACUCCAAAAAAAUUCAACGGGUUUAUUUUAAGAGCUGUUUGGAUACACACUAUAGAAUUCUACAGGAUUUCUGAUAAUCUUUAAAAAUUUAGCUAUUAAAUGACUUUAAAAACUAAAAAUUUAAAAUAAAAGUUUAAAAUUUAAUUUUAAAUUAUUAACUAUUAAAUAAUUUUAAAAUUUAAAAUUUAAAAAUUAAAAUUUGAAAAAUUAGCUGUUGGAAAGUUUUAUCUCUAGCUGUUGGAGAAUUAAAAAAUCCAAUUACUAGCUGUUAGAGAGCUUGAAAAUAAAAAAAAACUAGCCGUUGGAGAGCUCAAAAAUAAAAAACUAGCCGUUAGUGUAACGUAUCGAAACUCGAUAGAAAAUAUUGAACUUUAGCCAAAUUGACUAAAGUGCGCGAAAGGAAUAAUUGGACAAGUUUCAAUUAUUGUUCCAACAAUGUUGGAAGAGUUAAAAGUGAGUUUUAGAAGGGUUAGAAGGAUUUUAGUAUUGACCGGUGCGAAAUAGAAUCGAAAACGAUGCAAAUUUAAAGUCUGGGCAAAGUGUACCGGUACAACAUUGAUGUUGUACCAGUACAACACUGCAACCCGAGAGGAAUUGCUCUCGGGUUUGCCUCUGUGCAAUCGUGUUACCGGUGACACCCAUGAUGUGUACCGGUACACUUCGGCAAAAUCCGAACAGCAGCUCUCGGGUUUGCUCUCCGCGUAAUUGUGUUACCGGUGACAAGAACCCGUGUACCGGUACACUUUGGUAUGGCAGCAACAAUGAAAUCUGUUGCAAAUAGAAAGAAGUGGAGGGUUUUUUUUGUAAUUGUUACAACAUGUUAAUACCCUAAACACCCUCCCUUCUCUCUUUCACAGCCUACACCUCACUCCCUCUCAUUUCUCUCUUUUUCUCUCUAGAAAUCUCUCCAAGGAGUAAGGAGGAGUAGGAGGAGAAGGAUUUUUGGAGGGUUUUGGAGCUUGGAGAAGAUCUAGAACUCUCCAAUAACGCCCUAAAAAGGGGUCUUUUCCCUGUGAACCCCUUAUUUUUCUUGCAAUUUUCUGUAUUUUCUAGGAGUAGUCUACUUAUAAUUCUUUCUUUCCGCACUUACUGUUUUUCCUAGGAGUAGUUCUUUAAGUAAAUCAACCGAGUCUGCAUGCCAUUCGGCACACUUAACCCCUAUACUUCUUACCAGUUAAUAUAAAGGUAUUCGACUCUUCAAGCCGACCAGUUCUUGUGUUCCUUAGUCAUUCGGCUCCUCGGCUGACUUCAGUUCUUACUUUGUUCGUAUAUUCGGCUCAUCCAGCCGAACCGAAUUUAGUGUAGAGUUUUCAAACCCGGCUGAUCCGAUCCCUCAUCAGUCGAAUCGCUUGAUCGAUCAAAGGACGCAAACUUCGAGGGUCACCAACAAGCCGUUUCCAUCCCGACACGCUCCUCGAGAAGGAUCGUCGACAAGGACGAGGGUUUGGGGAAUCGACAACCACCAAUUUUUUGGCAACGCCCAGCGGGACACAUUUAAGGUAAUUUUUAUUAUUUAUUAAUAUAAUGGUUGAUGAUAAUGCCAUAAAUCUACGUAAUAGGGCCGUUCCUAGAAGUUCUGGGAGCGAACAGCCCAGCAAUUCAGAAAAUAUUGCCGAACACCAAGCGGUUUUGCCGGCUGAGGGUGAGACUAGCGGCCAAUCUGGCUAGCAAGAGCCUAGUUUGGCUCAUGCGCUUGGGCAAAUGACUCGAGUCUUACAGGUUUUGGACCAAAAUAGCCAUACUAGCACUGCACGACUAGAUGCAGUGUUGGCCGCAAUUACGGCCUCUAACGAGAAUAUUGCCCGAAUAGGGUAAUUAUUAACUCGAAAUGAGCAGACGAUAGCAGGCUUACAAGCGCCUGUAAUGACACCAGUGUUACAAAAUCCUGUAACACUGGUAAACAGUCAAUUAUAGAAUAGGGUAAUUAUUAUACCAGGGGGUACCGUUUUAGGGAGUUUAUAGACCGGCAGUUGUCAACGCCAGCCAACAACCAGAGAUAGCAUGGGGGUUACCGCCUCCUCCACCAGUGGCAGCAUACCAGCCCCAAAAUGUAGGGGCUAGGGGGCAGGCUCUGAAUGUACAAGGAAUUAACCCUGUGGUACAAAAUUUCGAUCUACCACAAGGACCGAAUCAAGCACAAGCGCAAGUCCCCUUACAAGGGAUUAAUAAUGAAAUAUAUGCACAGAUUUUGGAAGCCAUCCGAAAUACUUUCGGAGUAGGCGCAAGGCCGGCAAUGCGGCCUGUAUUUAGAUUACCUUACCCUGCGAAUAUAGACACAGAACAUUCAUACUCGGCAAAUUGAAAAAUGCCGAAGUUUGAUAAGUUUUCUGGCGAUGAGACCGAAAAUACGGUCGAACAUGUCGCACGGUUUACAGCUCAGUGCCGUGAAGCCGCGGCAAAUCCAUUUUUAAAAUUAAGAUUAUUCAAUACCUCGUUGACCAAAACAGCUUUCACUUGGUAUACAAGUUUGCCAGCGAAUUCUGUCCGAGAUUGGGACGAAAUAGAAGGUAAAUUUCAUGAACAAUUUUAUAGAACAGAACCGGAAUUAUCCGUUGCUAAUUUAGCCCAGUUCAAAUAGAGAACAGGCGAAUUGGUUGAGGAGUAUUUGAAUAGGUUUAAGACGGCUAGAAGCCGUUGUUUUGUGAGAAUGCCAGAGUUGGAAUUUGCCAAAAUGGCAUUUAAUGGUUUGCACUUUAAAAUUAAAGAUUAUUUUGAAGAUAAGUACUUUCCAAAUCUUUUCGAUUUGGGAGUUCGGGUUGUUCAAUAUGAGCAAUUUCGAAAAAGAAAUAAUGAGGAUCGGCCGAGGUGGAGCCGAAAUAAAGAUUGGAACAAAGGAAAGGAGAAAAAUAUCUCUUUCCUUGAAGAGUCUUCGGCUCAUAAGGAGCCGAAUUCGUCUGAAGAGGCUGAAGAUUCGACUGAUGAAGCCGAAAUAUAUGCAGCCGAGAUUGUGAAAAACCAACAGCCAUAUAAAUAUGCUUUGCUGAAGCCCGCUAAAUCAAGCGAGGCAAAAGCACGUGUUUCAGCAUACACAUAUUCGUUUGAUGUAUCAACGACCGAUCUAAUUUUUGAUCGGUUGCUGAAAGAUGGUCGAAUCCAACUACAGGAAGGUCAAACUAUACCUCCUAUAGAAGAAUUGAAAAGAAGAAGAUACUGCAAAUGGCAUCAUUCGUGGAGCCAUAAAACAAAUGAGUGUACUGCCUUUAAGAGGCAGAUACAAAAAGAAAUAAAUGAGGGUCGGCUCAUAUUUGCUGACCAAGAAAACAAAAAAUAUGAAAAUUGAUAAGAAUCCUUUUCCAUCACGGGUCAAUAUGGUAGGAAAAGGAAAAGCGGCUGCAAAAAGGAAAAUCCGAGAAGAAAUAGAGGAAGGUCGACUCAUAUUUGCGGACCAAGAAAACAAAGCUAUGAAAAUUGACAAGAAUACAUUUCUUUCACAGGUAAAUAUGGUGGAUAUCAAAGAAAAGGCGGUUGCAGACAAGAAGAUUGCUGAGAACAUUGCUUUCGUUAAGAGGACGCUUCGGCUUUGCAUACGAUGCAAAGCCGAAAUGACAAAGAAGGAUUGGGAAGUCAUCAUCAAUGACAAGAAAAGAAGCAACGAAUGGAGAGAGUUGGUGGCUUUUCCCGAAGAAUGGGAUGAGAUUCCCGAAGGUGAAGACAAAUCUGAGGAUGGCUUAGACGAAGCCUCCAACGAGUCCGAACCGGAAGUUGAUUCGGUUCAAAAUAAGAAAGAUCUAUUGAUGCAGAAAGUUUUGCAUGACUACUAUAACAACUGGAGAGAGGAGCAUCAUAGCCGAUGGAGUUAUCCAGAAAAACCAUUCGGCUCAAAGCAGAGAUUUCCUGGGUACCGGCCGCACUGGCAGCAUCAAGCUAGGCCGAGACCAGAACCGGAGUUUGAAGGGAUGACCGAGGGAGAUAUAGAAUUCCUUGGUCGAAGAUUGGUCAAUGAGCUCGGCAUACAGCCGUGGCUGAGACCUUGGGAAAGAAGGAAGAUUUUAAAAAAUCAUUUGAGAACGGUGAAAGUACCAGCAAAUGUGCCGAUAGACAAGUGGCACGAAGUCGAAGUAAAACCAUCGGCCAAAUGGCAAGGGCCGAUGUUAACGAAGACACAAAAACGUCGACAGCAGAGGAUGCAAGCCGAGGCGAGACAACAUUAUGAGAAGGCAAAAGGGAUGAGGCUGAACGUAUGGAGACGACCUAACAAGCCACCACACCUUUUUCGCCCGAUGCGAAAUGAUCAUGAGGCGGGUAGUUCGUCACCCGUUCAUUGGUUAUAGUCGAAGAUAGAACGGCUGGUCACGGCCGAACCAGAGGAGAAGAUGACUAGGAAGGAGCUAGAGGACAAAAUAGCCUCCCUCGAAACAAUCAUCAAGAGAGAGAGAUGGCCUCCUAAGGAGAGGGAGGCACGGAUGGAGAGUGAUUCCUCGGCCGAGACGGCUAAGCAAUCUGAAGAAAAGAAACAGAGGAUUCAAGAGAAAUCGGCUGACGAAGGACUAGCCGAUGUCAACAUGGUGUAUACUCUGCCGCAGUCUUUUAAUGCGGAGUAUGUUGAGUACAAUGAGGAGAUGGCAGAUGAAGAAGUUGGGCUUACGGUGGCCCAAUUGCAACUAAAAGAUGUUAAACCGGCCGAUGCGGUGGGUUUUUGAGAAACCAUCGGCCGUUCAGACGAGAUUUGUAAGGCCUUUGUUUAUUCAGACCUUAAUAGAAGGUUAGCCAGUAGGCCGAGUCAUGAUAGACGACGGGGCGAUAGUCAAUGUCAUGCCUACCCCGUUCUUUAAGAAGUUGGGCAAGGACGAGGACGAAUUGAAGCCAACCGACACGAUCAUGACCGAUUUCACUGGAAACGGUCAACAAGCUCGAGGGGUGCUCACGACCGAGAUUAUGGUAGGUUCUAAACUUUACGAACUGUAUUUUUUGUGGUGGAUGCAGAUAGCCACUAUAACCUACUGCUGGGACGCGAUUGGAUAUACGCAAACGAGUGCGUGCCUUCCACACUCCACGAAAAAUUAUUCCAGUGAAUAGGAGAUAGAGUUGAAGAAAUUCGGGCCGAAGGACGGCCCCAAAUAGUGGAGAUCAACUUAGAAGAGAUCGACAACAUAUAUUGGGCCGACGCUGACCCAGAUCAAAUCUCUUUCGUAAGAGUCACUUAGGAGGGAGUGCAAUUGAUUCUCUCUAGAGAUGAAGCUGCUAUGGUGGCAGCCGAAGAGCCACCAAGCCGGUUAAAAUGAAACGUGAAGAAUCAAGAACCGAAACUUUAGAGGAGCUUCGGCAAGAGGAGCCGAUCGACAGGAUCGGCUAUGUGAUAAAUUCGGCCCAGCAGGCCAAUGACGUGGUGUGCAACAAGAAGGCCGAGACGACCAAUAAUGAUAUAGUGAAAUUGGCUGUUAAAGCCGAUACAAAAAAUAUGGUGAAAUCGGCUGUUACAGCCGAUAGUGAAAUAUUACAUGAAAUGAAAAGGCAAACAACCGAUUUGAACUUAGAAGAGUCGCCUAUCAAAGUCGGUGAAAAAAAGUUGGAAACACAUGAUCCACUAAUUGAGGUGAACUUAGGAUCCGACGAAGACAAACAACCGACUUAUAUUAGUGCCAAGCUUUCGGCUCAACAACAGGAGGAGCAGAAAGAAUUGUUAAAGGAGUACAAGAACUGCUUUGCCUGGAACUAUGAAGAAAUGCUAGGACUAAGCCGAGAAGUUGUAGAACAUAGGCUACCUAUUAAAAAAGGAUGUAAGCCUUAUAAACAGCCGGCUCGUAGGUUUGAGCUGAGUAUUGUACUCCAAAUCAAAAAUGAAAUAGAAAAUCUUUUAAAUGUCGGUUUUAUUAAAGCGGCCCGUUAUGUUGAUUGGGUAUCCAAUAUAGUUCCAGUGCGAAAAAAGAAUGACAAACUUAGAGUUUGCAUUGAUUUUAGGAACUUAAAUUUGGCUACACCUAAAGAUAAAUACCCAAUGCCAAUAGCCGAUAUGUUAGUAAAUUCGGCUGCCGGUAAUGAAAUCCUGUCUUUCAUGGAUGGACAUGCCGAUUAUAAUCAAAUUUUUAUUGCCGAAGAAGAUGUGGCUAAAACGGCCUUUAGAUGCCCAGGGUCUAUUGGAACCUUUGAAUCGGUAGUCAUGUCGUUCGGUUUAAAAAAUGCCGGAGCUACUUAUCAAAGAGCAAUGAAUUUUAUUUUUCAUAAUUUGAUCGGCAAGAUGUUGGAGAUUUACAUCGAUGAUAUAGUUGUGAAAUCCAAAUCACAAGCCGAACAUUGGGUAGAUUUAAAGCUCGCCUUUGAAAGAAUGAGAAAAUAUAAGUUGAAGAUGAAUCCUUUGAAAUGUGCUUUUGGAGUCUCAGCAGAAAAUUUUUGGGGUUCUUGGUACAUAAAAAGGGGAUUGAAAUCGAUAAAAAUAAGGCGAAAGCUAUAUCAAAAUUGCCGCCACCAAAAAACAAAAGAGAGUUGCAAAGUUUAUUGAGGAAAAUCAAUUAUUUGCGGCGAUUUAUAUCAAAUCUAGCCGGUAGGAUAGGAGUUUUCACUCCAUUACUUCGGCUUAAAAGUCAAGAAGAAUUUAUUUGGACGGAGGAACAACACGGAGCAUUUGAAAAUAUAAAGAAAUAUUUAACAAAUCCUCUAGUUCUUAUGCCUCCUAAACACGGACAGUCGAUGAAGCUAUAUAUUUUGGCUGCAGAGGAAAAUUUGGGAUGUUUAUUGGUCCAAGAAAAUGAAGAAAAAGAAGAACAUGCCAUUUAUUAUUUAAGCCGAUGAUUAUUAGAUACCGAAAAACGAUAUUCGGCUAUCGAAAAAUUAUGUUUGGCCUUAUACUACUCUUGUACAAAAUUAAGAUAUUAUAUUUUACCAACCGAAGUAUCGGUAAUAUGUAAAACCGAUCUAGUAAAAUAUAUGUUAUCUAAGCCAGUGUUGAGAGGACAAAUCGGAAGAUGGAUGUUAGCAUUAUCUGAAUUCUCUUUCAAUUAUGUGCCGGCAAAAGCUGUUAAAGGACAAGCGAUAGCCGACUUUCUGGCUGAUCAUCCAUGUGUUGAAAUUGAAGAGCCGAAACAAAAUUAGUUGGCUGUCAACCUUGGAUAUUGUAUUUUGACGGCUCAAGAACAACCGAGUCAGCGGGAGCUGGAAUAGUUGUACAAUCUUUUGAGGGAUAUACCCAUCAUUUUGCUUUUGAAUUAGAUUUCGGCUGUUCCAACAAUCAAGCCGAAUAUGAGGCCUUAAUAAUUGGCCUCGAAAUUUUACAAGAAUUGAAAGUUAAGUCACUUAAGGUCAUCCGUGAUUCACAAUUAGUGAUCAAACAAGUCAGUGGGGAAUACCGAUGUGAAAAUCAGAAUUUGCAAAAUUAUUUGAGAAAAACAGUAGAAUUGCUUUGCGGCUUCGAAGAAGUAGAAUUCGAGCAUUUGACAAGAGGAAAAAAUGAACAAGCGAAUGCAUUAGCCCAAUCGGCUUCAGGAUAUAGAGAGCCGAAAUAAGGUCUAAUAAAAAUAGAAAGAAGACUAUUACCUUCAGUUUAUAUUCGAGAACCGAUUAUUGUCCCCAUAGAGGUGAAAGAGGAUUGGAGAAAAUUCAUAAUCGAAUACUUAGAAGACCCAACAAAAAGAUCGAAUAUAAUAUUUGAAGAAGAGCACUCGGCUAUUGUCUGUUAGAGGGACAGCUCUACAAGAGAACAGCCGAAGAGAUAUUAUUAAAAUGUUUAGGGCCUAAAGAAGCUCUAUUGGUGAUGGAAGAAACACAUGAAGGCUUAUGUGGAGCCCAUUUUGUAACAUACCGAACUUCGGUAGACUAUGUUGGACUUUAGCCAAAUUGACCAAAGUAUGCGAAAGAAAUGGUUGGACAAGUUCUAUUUAACAUUCCAACAAUGUUGGAAGGGCUAAAGUUGAGUUCCAAGGGAGUUAGAAAGGUUUUAGCAUUGCUCGGCGCGAAUUGAAUUCGAAACAAUGCGAGAUUGAGGUUCGGGAGCAUUCGGGUGUUUCGGUGCGCGUUGGCGCGAAAACGGAACCCGAAAGGCUAUGUUGGAUCAUGGGUUAAAUCCGGCAUAAGCGGGGAUGAAAAGAUGGUUGAGACACGCUUGAAAAUAUAUUUUGGGGGUCUUGGUGUGAUUUGAGAUGAAUCGGAGGCCUAACGAGCGAAAACGAGCGAAAACGGAGAAAAGCUGAAAAAAUUGGCUAAGUCCUAAAAAGGCUAUGUUACCGGUGACAGAAUUAUUUUGUACCGAUACACAAUGUAUUACCCGAGAAGGUAGCUCUCGGGUUUGGCUGUUGCGCGAUCAUGUUACCGGUGACACCAUGAAGUGUACCGGUACACUUUUGUCUGGCAGCAAAGAAAUAGUCUGCUGCAAUUUUGAAGAGUUGGGAGGUUUUUGUUGCUAUUGUUACACACUAUAAAAUAACCCAAACCCUCUCCCCUUCACAGCAAAAUAAAAACUCUCCUCUCCUCUCUCAUUUCUCUCCUCUCUCUCUUUAGAAACUCUCUACCAAGGUGGGUUAGAGGUGGAUUGGAAGGAGAUCAAGUGGAGAUUGGAGCUUUGGGGAAGAUCAAGAGCUCUCCUACAAGGUGGAGCUUGGUGGGCAUCUAGGCGAAGGUGAGGUUUCUUAUGAGAUUGAUGUUAGGGCUUGGUUUUAUGCCCCAAAUCUUUUGGAUUUGAUCUUCUUGCAUGUGUAGAAACCUCGUAGAGACUAUAAAACAUGUGGAAAACCAUGUUUGCUCAAGUGCUCUCAUAGUGAAUUUCAAGGGUUUGUUCUAAACACCGUAAGAAUGGUUUAGAUAUUUCUAGAUGAGUUUCUAGAUGUUGAACAAGCUCUCUUUUACUUGUUCUAGAGAUCAAAAUCAACGAUUGAGCAAAGGGCAUUGUUAGGGCACCAAAAUUAGGACUUUUGCCCUAGGUUGUUUUCGAGACAAAUUGACCUUGUAGAAACCUAAUUAGGGGUAUUUUCGAUGCGUGGAAGACUCGGUUCGGUGAAACGAAGAGUCUACACGAAGUUAUUGACGAAAAGGUCGAUUUUGGUAUAGAUAGCCGCAGCACGCGGAAUAGGCGUUCAAAAAUCACGAGAACGGAUCCGGAGCAUCUUGGCAUCAAGAUAUAGAUCUAACAAUUUUCAGAUUUUGGAUUGGUGGCCGGUUGGUGCUCGAGUGUGAGUUCGGGCCGAACCGGGCAACGGGUGUCGCGGGAGGCCGAUUGCAAAUGACUACAAGCAAUCGGAACACGUUAAGAGGUGGGUUGUGUUUACCGAAGCGACUAGGUCGCCUCCAUGUCAAAGUAGAGCUUGAAUUCAUAUUGAUGUAUAUUAUGGUAGUUGUAGCAUUUUGGAUGCAUAGAUGCUAAAGAUAUAUAAACUGCCAUUAGAUAAAGACAUGGACUAGAAAUGCUAAGUGGAUUGCAUGUGCAGGUUAAUAUUAUGAUAACCAUGCUAGUUGAUGAUUGCAUAAUGAUGCAUUGAGAAUAUAUGCUAGUGAAUAGAUUCAUGUUGGCAUAUAUAUGCAUAGUGGAAUAAAUGCUAGGUACAUGUUAGCAUUGUGAGAUCAUGUUAGGGAGCAUGCAUAUGGACAUAUUGUUGAUUAUGUUAGAUAAGAUGCAUGUUAGCUUUGUAAACUCGAUAUGGAUAAUUAGGAUGUCAAAUAGAUCGAGUGGCAUUGAACCUAGUGUUAAUAAACAUAGGUUGGACAUGAAUGACAUUGAACCUAAUGUUAGUAAACAUAGGUUGGAAUAAGAGUGGUAUCAAACCUAGUGUUAAAGAACAUAGGUUGAGAAUUGAACCUAGAGUCAAGUAAACCUAGGUUUUGUGAUAGAGGCAUUAAACCUAGAGUCAAUGGGACCUAGGAUAGAAAGGACAUUGGACCUGGAUGGGUCUAUACUAUAGGGUGAGACCAACCCUAGAGUUGUGGAAGUGGAUUCCGGAAUCCCUAGGAAUGAGUGCUGCUAGUGCAGUGGCUGCUAGUGCAGCGGAUCAGCCUUGCGACCGAGCGCAAGUGUAUGGCAACUGCAGGUAUGUGUGGUUCUCCUCGCCUGGCAAUGACUCAUCGGGUACGUGUGGUUCUCCUGGCCCGGUUUGAGUAUGAGAUUGGGGACGCGGGUACGUGUGGUUCUCCUCGCCCGCAGGUCCAUUGAGCGUCUUGUGAUCCGGGGUUCGAUGGAUAUCCUCACCCUGUGAGUAGACCCAUAGUCGAGAGGAUUUAAGGCUGAGGUGCAUGUGAGACGUCCUUCGCCUCGAGCCUGACAGAGUGCGGAUUAUCCGCAGUUGAUUGACUCAAGAUUGAGUCGAGUGGCAUAGUUGGCUAAGGUAAAGGCAACCUUAGGAAAGAAUGGCCAAUGAGUAUGUUGUGACUAAGAAUAAAGAAUAAAGAAUAAAGAAUGGCUAAUGUUAAAGAAUAGCAAAUGCUAAAGGAUAACUAAUAUGGAAAAGAAUGAUUAGCGAUAAAGAAUGGCUAAGAUAAAGAAUGGCUAAGAGUAAAGAAUGAUUAAGAAUAAUGAGUAGAAUUAACUAAUCUACAUGCAUGAGUUACAUGAUUUGCAUAUUGCAUAUUGUGAGGCAUAAACAUGUAUCUAAUAUUUGCAUAAAUAUUAUUUGUUGAUAUCUAUUGGACUAACAUGUUUGCAGUGCCUCCUUUGGACCUGGUGGGUCGAACUUUUUCCUUGGGUGGCCGUACCCACUGGGAACUAUGGACAAUAGUUCUCACCUCCGUAUUAUUUUUGGGGGUACAGGUUCACAUGUGAGCGGCGUGACGGCGCGAGGAAAGGACGUAGCUCCGUAGAUAGUGCCCUACCACACAGACCAGAGAUAGCAGUACCCUGAGUCGGCUUAACUUAGGGUUGUAAAAGAAAAAGAACCAAGUUAGAACUAAUUUGUAUAACUAUGUUAGAUCGGAUUGUAUUUGGAAGCUAAAAAUAGAAUAAAAAUGUAAUGUAAUAUGUGAGAUGAAUGAUUAUAAUAACUUAGUUGUAUUUAUAUUUUCGAUACCUUCCUUAUGCAAUCUAUGUUGUAUGCUGUUCCUGGUUGGAACCUCAUGCAUUGUUUGGAUUGUGAUGCCUCGGACGUACAGAGGAGACUCUGUCUGCGGUACAGGGGAAGCCCUGUCCGUUUGGCGGUCUGUUGGCGUACCCGAAACCGACCAAAUAGGCGGGCUCGGGGCGUGACACAUUUAGCAAGAAAAAGAUUAAGAUGGACAAUCCGGCACUUAGGAUAUUAUUGGCCGACUAUGCAUCAAGAUUGCAUAGAAUAUGCUAAGGGUUGCCAAGAUUGUCAAUUUCAUGGAUCAAUACAGAGAGUUCCUGCUUCUGAAAUAUAUGCAAUAAUUAAACCUUGGCCUUUUCGAGGUUGGGCCAUGGAUUUGAUUGGAGAAAUUCAGCCGAACUCCUCGGCUGGUCAUAAGUUUUUAAUAGUGGCCGUUUAUUAUUUUACUAAGUGGGUAGAAGUGAAACCUGCUCGAUUGAUCACUCAAAAGGAAAUUAUUGAUUUCGUUGAAGACUCAAUAAUUCAUCGCUUUGGGAUUCGCGAGACGAUCACAACCGAUCAAAGAACAAUGUUCACAGGAGGAUAGUUCAAUCGGUUCAUUGAAUCUCGGAAGAUCAAGUUACUUCACUCAUCAACCUAUUAUGCUCAAGCUAAUGGACAAACUGAGGCAGCAAAUAAGGUGAUUAUAAAUCUUAUGAAGCGGCAUAUCGAAAAACAUCCAAGGAAAUGGAAUGAAAAGUUAUCCGAAAUAUUAUGGACAUGCCGAACUUCAGUAAAAACAGUAGCGGGGAUGAUGCCGUUUCAAUUAGUAUACGGCUACGAGGCCGUGAUACCAGUCGAAAUAAUAGUCCCUUCUUUAAGAAUGGAAAGGCAAAACGAACUAUCGGCUGAUGAAUAUAGUAAUUUGAUGAAGAAAGAAAUGGAAGAAAUACAUGAAACACGGUUGAUGGCAUUGAACCAUUUGCAAGCUUAUCAAAGUCGAGUACACAAUGCAUAUAUGUAAUAUACCGAAACUUCGGUGAAUAAAUAUCGAACUUUAGUCAAAUUGACCAAAGUGCAAGGAUGGUACACUUCGGAAAGUCCCAAGGUGCUAAAAUGAUCAAAAGUGCGUUGUGGGAGGUCUUCGAGAGCUAAAGAGUCAAAAUUCUACAAACUGCAGAUUUUCAGCUCUUGGGGACCGGUCCCUGAAGGAAGAGACCGGUCUUCGAACGCGUGAGAAAUGAGAAAGCUGAAAAAUCGGCUAAGUCCCAGAAAAUCAGCUCUCGGGAACCGGUCCCUGCGGGGAGAGACCGGUCCCCGAGAGACCGGUCCCUCUAGGAGAGACCGGUUGCUUCGUGCGAAAGCCCCGCUGAGCUGCUGUCACGCCCCGGGGCUCAGCGGAAGCCUACCUGGCACGUGUCCAGACCCGCCAUACGUCUAAAACAUAUAAGGCGUCUACAAAAUUUUCAAUAAUUAAAACAGUAAUACAAAGAGAUCUAGUGAUAUCAGAGCAUUUUACAAUUAGUUCUAAAACAAAGAAGAGAACAUAAAGCUGAUAAUCCAUUAAUAAAGGCAUAAAGUAAAUACAAUAGGAGCCCCAUAACGAGUGCUAAGUGAAGUACAAGGUGGUCUCUCUAUACAUGGCGCAAAACCUCUCCCUCUCUCAAAAUAAAAAAAGGGGGAGUAACCACCUAGCGCAAAAGAACUCUCCACGAGCUAGCUAAGCGACACCCUUGCCGCGAUCCCUUUCUGUUUUACGGCUCAGAUUUAAUUUCUUCUAAGUUGUGCCCUACAAUAGCAGAUCAUUUUGGAGAGCUACCGAUUAUUAGGUACCUUAAAGAUGAAUAUUUUGGUCUUUUAAUACGUGCUAUAUUAUCUAAAUCUCUCUUAUCUCUUUAUUUUUUUUUUCUCUCUCUAUCUUUUCUCUUCAUCCACAGGUAUCUCGUCGUUUUCAUAUGAGAUUCAAAUUAUUUGACAAUAUGGUUUUGAAUUUAUAUUUUAAAAAUUUAGAUUUAACAUAAUAUAUUUUGAAAUAUGAUAAAUAAAAAUAAUUAUUUCAGGUUCGGAUUUUCGGAUUUGAACUUGGUUUUGGAUUUUGUCAGUUUCAAGGUUGGUUAUGGAUAUUUGAAAUUUGUCCGGUUUGGAAAUGGGUUUUGCGGUUGAAGAGCCGGGUACGGAUUCAGUUUCAUAACAAUUUUUUUUUCUGACCAGUAAUCUUAAUCUUUUUAAUUUUUUCGUUUAAAAUUAUAUUUAAAAUAUUUAUUAUCUCCAACAGUGAAAGUGUCUUUAUGUUUAAAACGUUUAUUAUCUCUAAUAGUUUAAAAUUGUUCCUAAUCUUAUUCAAUAUAAUGGGUUGAACUGCACCGCUUGAUAGAAUAGUUUACGGUCUGAUUCGUUGAACUAAUUAAUUCAAUCUGAUUUUUAAAUCAUUGAUACUAACUCAAGGAAUAAAAAAAGUUAGGAAUCUAAUUGCAAUCCAAAAGAUAUGGAAUUAAAAUUUUAAAAAACAACUAAAAGCUGAAAAAUUUAAAAGGUAAAAAUAAAAUCCAACUUCAUAAAUCAAUUCAAUUAGACUGAUCAAAUUAAUAAACUAUAUAAAUAGUUUAGAUUUGUUCCUCAUAGAUUUAUUUAAUUGAACUAGGCUGGAAUACUAUCAAUAGUACCAAGCUAUUCGUGCUAUUAGUUUUUUAGCUUUUGAAUUGAGAAAUGUGUAGUUAGGAUGAUAUGGACCCCCCAGAGUUGAGUGAGGGGUUGGUUGAAUAGUAUAACCUAAAGGGUAAAAAUAAUCAAAGGGUUCAAUCUAACGGUGGAAAACUCGAUAGUAUCAAAUCCUUGGUGCUAUCGAUACUAUCCCAGAAGGACUUUAUUUAAUUUAUCUACGGUCCUAAUUUUGUUUACUCUAAUAAAACACUAUACUGGAGAUUUAAUAUAAGCGUAAAAUUUAAAUUAUACAAUCUAAAUUUAUUUAUUAGUAAGUUUAAAUUGCACUAUAUUAUUUAAAAUUAUAGGAGGUUUCUAUAUAUUUUU
Molecule: long non-coding RNA, 81994 nt
Filed under: Ananas comosus (pineapple)
Lineage: Eukaryota; Viridiplantae; Streptophyta; Magnoliopsida; Poales; Bromeliaceae
Description: long non-coding RNA (ACOM_LNC005698)
Source: RNAcentral